RNAcentral lists this long non-coding RNA (62439 nucleotides) under Malus domestica (apple). Lineage: Eukaryota; Viridiplantae; Streptophyta; Magnoliopsida; Rosales; Rosaceae. The record is from RNAcentral.
UUGUGAAAUUUUGGCGAUGAUUACAAAUUAUCCGCGCUUCUGAGAGCAAUCGAUGAAGUAGAAUGUGAUAAUCAAUGGUUGAAUUUCUUGAUAUGAGCCAUUUAAGUUUUUGAUUUGCUGAUUUGGGUCGGUGAUAUUUUUGGGUUUUGUUGAUUAAUGUUGGCGGUGAUGACUAAAUUUUACAGCUUUAUGCCAGUUCUGCUUCAGAAAAUUCGUGAUUGAGAGAGCUGUUUCAUACUCUGAGCCUUCAGUUUAUUAAUUUGAUUUUGUUUUUCUUUAGUGUUUUGGAUUUCUGUGUUUUUGGUGGUGCCGAUGACGAUUCAAUCCGCUUGUUUGAGGUGCAGUGGAAUUGAGACCCUGUUUACAGGGAGAACCCCUCAGUGACACUGCAUUCAUAUGAAUUCAAUGGAUUUAGCUGAGGUUUUAAUCUUACUUACCCUCCUUGUAAAAUGUUUUUGUGUUACUUGUUUGGUUUGUUGUCUGUCUAUGAUUAGAUUUGUUGUUUGGUAUGUUAUUAAUUGAUUGUGAUUGGUGUGUUAAAUUUUGGUGAUGUCUUCUUGUCCUUUGGCCUGUGAUGAUUCAAUCCGCUUUUUUGAGGUGUAGUGGAGCUGAGACCUUGUUUACAAGGAGAACCCCUCGGCGAAGCUACAUUGCAUAUGAAAUCAAUGGAUUUAACUGAGGUUUUAAGUCUUCAUUACUGCAUCAAAAUCCAUUGUUUCUGUGCUAAUGGCUUGGUUUGCUGAAUAAUGUUUAUUAUUUUUGUUAGGAUUAAGUAUUGUUUAGGCGUCAAUGAUGUUACAAUCCAACGUGUUUGAGGAGUAGCGGAAGUGAGAACCUGCUUUUGUGCAGGUCGAACCUACUCGUGGAAACUACAUCCCUUGACAGAAACGAUGUAGCUGAGGCAUUGCAGUCAUAUGGUUUUGUUAUGUAUUGUGUUUAAUUGUUGGUUUUGAGUUUCAACUAUACCCUUAUCCUUUUUCGAUCAGGUGAAGGGUCUGAAAUAACUCAUAAAUUAGAGUGUUGUCAUCAGCAUCAUCUUGUGUUACUGGUCAAGACUGGAGUUAAACAACAACACUACAUCUAAUUGCACUAAUUUUGUUUCAUUUAUUUUUUGAUUUGUGUUAAAUUUUAUCUAAUUUUUUGUUGGAAUUGACUCUUGUGAUGAAUUGAUAUGUAUGCUCAAUAGCUGCUGCUGUAUACUUCUAUUAACUGAAUUGGGGUUAAGUAAUUAAUAUAGUGAUAAUAAUUUCUAUAACCUACAGGCCUCACCCUGUCUCCAUUGGGGAGUACCCUAAAAAAAGGAACCCUUCCUCUCCCAGCGUUUUCGGGUACGUCCGUGAAUUCUCUUUGUCAAUGGUUUUGGUUUUUGAAUUGUUCCCAGCUGAUCUUUUUGUUGUUGGAGGAUUUAGAUUUUGUAGUGAGUAAUUAGUUUGCAGGAGUACCAAGUGGUACAAACAAGCAUGGAAACAAGAGGAUGAUUGGUGGAGAAAAUGGCGCGUGGAAAUCAUGACCUUGGAUUCGUCAUGUGUGGAUGGGUUUAUGUUGUACAAUCUUUUGACUGGAAUUCAGACCAAAAACAGACAUGUAAUUGUAAAUGAAUGUUGUUGUAAGCUGUGUGGAAAAUUGGAAUUUGAAAAUUAUCAACGUAUCUCUGUUUUUGUAUCAAUUUUAGUUGGUAAAACUUGUAUGAUUAUUAACAUCAGUUAAGCUCAAAACCUCUUGAACCGAGGGAUUCAUGCUCGUAGCCUCAUUGAAUAACACAUGAAAUAACUCUUUGAAAUAACAGUAAUACUGUUAUUUGUGUCAAUGUUCAAGCUCUUUCCCUACAUUGAAUUUAAUGGAUUUAACAGAGGUCUUAAUCAUAAUUACCGUCCCAGUCAAAUGUUUUUGUUCAAUUGUUUGGUUUGUUGUCUAAGAUUAGAUUAGUUGUUUGUUAUGUUGUUAAUUGAUUGUGAUUGUUGUGGCCUGUGAUGAUUCAAUCCGCCUUUUAUAGGUGUAGUGGAGCUGAGACCUUGUACAUUUAAUUCGACACCAGUGGUUUUUAAUUCGACAUCAGUCAAUCCAUGUCGGUUUAAACUGACGCUAACUAAGUACCCAUAUUUAAAUCGACGCCAACUAAGUACCCAUAUUUAAACCCCUCACUUUCCCAUUUCAUCUGUGCUUUCAUUUCUCCCCCAAUUUCAGUCUUUCUUCUUCUCCUUCCCCAUUUCAUCUGUGCGUCCCUUUCUUCCUCCUUUUCAGUUUUUCCUCUUCUCCUUCCCGAUUUGCUAUGGAUCACCAUUUUGAAGAUCAACAUUUUGAGGAACUCCAAUCUGAACAUUGUCUACAGGGGAAAGCUCGACAACGGCCGCUUAAUCGCCGUUAAGCGAUUCAACAAGCUCGCCUCGUCGGACAAUUGCCAAUUCCUAGUCCGUUAAACUCAACCCUCCCUCCACUUUUCAACAUUUUGAUAAAUCUCAGUCUAGAUUUUUGUUUUCAGAAAAAAUAAGGAAAGAUUGAAUCUUUUUUUGUUUGCAGGAGGAGGCGAGGGUGGCGCUGUAUCUUGCUCAGGCUCUUGACUUUGCAGCAGCAAAGGUCGUGCCUUGUACUAUGAUCUCAAUGCCUACAGGGUUUUGUUUGAUUAGGGAGGUUAUAAAGUCUUCUGCUUUUCGAAUUGGAUUGAAUUUUUUGGGGGUUAAUCUGUUUGUUUGUUUUUGUUUGUUUGUUUUUUUGUUGUUAUAAUCGAGUAGAAGGGAAUGCAACACAAGGACUUUCCGCGAGGAUGUGAAUCGCAUGUUUAUCUGUUUUUAUUAUUUACCAUUUGGGUUUUUGAUUUUGUACACAGGAUGGUAAUCCCAGGUUGUCAGGCUUUAGUCCAAAAGCGUUUAUCCUUUAAUUAACAGACAUUUAACGAAAAAAUUACUUUUGGACUAAAUUUGCUAACGGACUAGCACCAUGAGGGUUUAAAUCCUAAUUUUUUUACCAUGAGGGCUAUCUUCCGAUUACCUUGUCACCACAAGGACCAUUUAUCCGAUUAGGCCUAAAAUUGUUUGUUUUUUCAUUGACAUAUGGUGAGAUUUAUUUUUAUAUAUUUUUUUUUUAAUUAUUAUUAAUUAAAAAUGGAAAAAUAAUUUUUUUAUUAUUAAUAUAUUUGGUGUCGCUUAUGGACGACAUCAGCUAAGUAUUUUAUUUAUCGAGAUGGAAGGUAAUGUCGGUAACGACCGACAGUAGCUCGACUAUUUUAUUUAUUUAACUGAGGUGAUGUCGGUUUGGACCGACAGUAAGUGUGAUAUUUUAAUUGCUUUUUUGUUAGUUAAUGUCGGUUUGGACCGCCAUUAUAUCAGAUUUCCAUGUCGCUUUUAAGCGACGUAAGCACCGAUGUCGCUUUUAAGCGAUGCUGUUAUUCUUUUUUAUUUUAUAAUACUUUCCUUCUUGGUGGCGGAUUAAGGGGGAUAAGCGACGCUAGUACCCUUUUUGUGACGGUCGUAUUGGAGUCGGUUUCACCAUGCGACAUUGCACGAUUUAAUGUCGGAUUUUUACCAAAAAUCCAACAGUAAGUGGUGUUUUUUGUCGGUUUUAUAGUGCCACUGAUAUCCCCUUUUGUAGUAGUGUUUUUUUGUGCUAAUUGCUUGUUUUGUUGAUUAGGGUUUAUUGUUUUGUUAGGAUUAAGGAAUGUUUAGGUAGGUGUCAGUGAUGUUACAAUCCAACGUGUUUGAGGCGUAGCGGAAGCGAGAACCUGCAUUUGUGCAGGUAGAACCUACUCAUGGAAACUACAUCCCUUGACAGAAACGAUGUAGCUGAGGCAUUGGAGUUUUAUGUUUUUGUUGUGCAUUGUGCUUAAAUGUUAGGUUUUGAGUUUCAACUAUACCCCUUAUCCUUUUUCGAUCAGGCAAAGGGUCUGAAAUAACUCAUAAAUUAGAGUGUUGUCAUCAGCUUCAUCUUGUGUUUACUGAUCAAGACUGGAGUUAAACAACAACACUACAUCUAAUCGCACUAAUUUUGUUUCUUUUAUUUUUUUGAUUCAUUUUAAAUAGAUUUUUUUAGCCAAAAUGAUUCCGAGAUUUGCUUAACUUCUCACUUUUGUUUUUGAGAUUUGAAAUCAAUAGAAGAGAGUGAAAAAAUAUGUUAAAUAAGGAUUAAAAUAACAAAAUUACCCUUAAUAUAAUAAACAAUAGGAGAAAAUGAUUUGACAAAAAUUAGGAGCAUUUUGUCAUUUUAUUCAUAUGUUAUUGAGAUUUUUUAUGUAAUGAUCAAAAUGAUUGAUUGUGGACAAAUUUAAAGAUCAAUUUUAUUGAUUUCAAAUUUCAAAGAUCAAAGUGAAGAAUUAUACAAAUAAUUUCUAAAACUUGACGGCACUAUCCUGUCUCUACUAGGGAGUACCCUAAAAAAGGAACCUUUCCUCUCCCCAGCCACAUGGACCCCUUCCUACCUGUUGUUCCUAGCGGUUCCGGGCCGAGCUGGAGUUAAAAAAAUAGGCAGGUAAAUUCCUGUUAUCUUUUUUCGUUGGAGGAUUUAGAUUGUGUAGUGAUUAAUUACUUUGCAGGAGAAUCCAGUGGUACAAACAAGGAUCGAAACAAGAAGAUGAUUGUUGGAGAAAAUGGCAUGGGGAAAUCAUUACCAGUUGUUCAAAUUCCUUAUGAUCUGCAACUGAAACAAGUUCUUGCUAAUGGUAAAAAAUGGAGCUUUGAAUGUCGGGGCUAUUCUUAUUUUACUUGAGGGGUUUGAAUUAGCCCCUCUCGGUAAGGUAGAGUGGUUCGCUUGAGUUGCCCAACCGCCCCUUAGCCCGAUGCUCAUGACGUGCUACGGAAUCUCCACCGUGCCGUGGUGUAACACCCACCCCCAUUUAUAAAAUUAUAUUUGUGUAAUUUCCCCUAAAUAUUUCUGAAUCUAUCAAUUUCAUCAUAUUUGUCUACCAAAUCAGGAUCCAAAGCCUUGGAUUCUUUUCUUCCUCACACUACCACGUGGCAGCACCCCAAGCAAUUUCUUAUUCUUCUCUCUCUGUCCCCCCCGGUGAACUCCUUCUUUCUUUUUCUUUUCUGUUUCUUGUUUGUCCUGUCUCUCUCCCUGUCGGCUCUCUCUCACAUCUCUCUUCUCUCCCUCUUCUCUGCACCGCACGCAUGCACCCAUCUCCCUGCGCGAGGAAGUCCAUCGUCAUCACCAUCUCGUCCUUCUCUCUCCCUUUGUCCCGUGCUGCGAACCUAGAAACCCGGAAAGGAACUCCGGCGAGUUUCUAUUUUUUCCGGUUAGGUAAGUCCCUAAUUAUCUCUAUUUCGUCCUUGAACCUUGCUGGAAUGAGUUUUAAAUGAGUGUAUUUCGUGUUUUUGGGAGGUUGUAGGACGAAUUCAAGCCGGGUGUAAGCACACCCAACUCCGGCGACCUCGGGGGUUUUUUCGGCCAUCUCCGGCCGUUCUACGACGAAAGGAAGGUAUAAAAACACUCCCCUCGUCUUGUUCUUCGUUUUGGUACCUGGAUCAGAGUCUAGGGUUGUGUGUGGUAGUCGGCCGGAGUUGUGAAGCUCCGGUGGUUGUGCUCCGGCGAGGCCAGGCCUCCCAGGCCGGUUCCAAUGGCAAGCGGGCCUUAGGCCCGAGUGGGGAGUCAAGCCCAAAAGCCCUAGCCCAAAUUCCUUUUAAUUGUUUUAGUUAAUUGUUAGUUGUUUUAGGACAAAAGGCCUUCGGGCCAUUAGAAUUAAGCCCCUAGCCCAAGCCCAAAACCUUUUUAGGUUUUAUUAUUUUUCUGAAUUAGAGUUGGGGCCCUUUUGGGCCAUUUUCUGUUAAGGGGGCUGAAAGCCCUUUCCCCAAAACCCUUAAGGCCUUUCGGCCCAGCCCAAAACCCCAAGCCCAGUUGACUUUGACCUUUGACCUGUUGACUGUUGACUCGGUCAACUGUUAUAGUUGACGUUGACUUUGACCGGUCAAAGGUCAACGUUGACUUUGUGAGUUGACUUUUCGGGGUUUCGUUCAGGACCUUUCCUAGGCUAAUUUCGACGUCCUGGACCCGUUUUUGAAGUCUGUUUCCCAAAUUCAAUCGUUUGAAUAAAGUUUGACCAAAGGUACUCCUUUAUGUGAAUAGGUGCAAUUAUUAACAGUGAUUCCGUUAUACCUUUUUGGUAUAGCUUUGCACCAUCAGUGUACGGUGAGUGGACCCCUUCAAAAGCAUGUUUUAAUAAUAGAAUUGCAUACAUGAAAAACAUGAUUUAAUACUUAUGUUUUAUGAAGUACUUUAUGAGAUUACAUGCUUACUAAGGCUAGAUUGAAUUAAUACAUAGGAAUAACAACGUUCAAGCCCUUUCCAUACACGGAAUUUUCUACGAAGAACAAUGUUCAAGCCCUUUCCAUACAUUGAAUUUUCUACAUAGACUUGUUCAUACAGAGGAAGAACAACGUUCAAGCCCUUUCCAUACAUUGAAUUUUCUGCAGACUUGUUCAUACAGAGGAAGAACAACGUUCAAGCUCUUUACAUACAUCGAAUUUUCUACAAAGACUUUGUCCAUAUGUGAAGGGUUGAAUAAUUGACUUAGUUGACUUGAAAUGAUCACCACAAAAAGGGCAUAUAGGUUGAGCUCCAGUAACAUCCAUACGGUAAAUCUUUGCCUGCCUGCUGAAUUCCUUGUACAGCCAUGAAUACCAAACCAAACCCAAAGUUCGUGUUUUCCGUUAUUUUAGUGUGUGUAUUUCUCGAGUCCCAUGUUUCCUUGCAGCUGACAGCUCAGCGACACUCUCCGGGCGAUCAAACCAUUGCUUCUGCUGGGGUGGGAUGUUUGAGCUAGGUUUCUUCAAACCAGGUCAGCUUUCAAACUACUAUAUAGGCAUAUGGUACUCCAAGCAAGUAGUAUCUGAGAUGACUGUUGUUUGGGUAGCAAAUAGGGAAACACCAGUUUCUGAUAUAUUUUCUUCGGCAUUGAGCAUCUUAGAUGGUAAUUUAGUUCUCUUUGACGAGUCCAAAACCCCGGUUUGGUCAACAAAUUUAAACUCCACCACCAAUUCUGGUUCUGUACAAGCAGUUCUUUUGGACAGCGGAAACCUUGUCUUGAUAGCCGGCUCUAGUAAUAAUACAUCAGAGCCUUUAUGGCAAAGCUUUGAUCAUCCAACCCAUGCUUUGCUACCAGGAGGUAAACUUGGAUUCAACAAAAUUACAAAUCAUACCCAAUUUCUCACUUCAUGGAAGAAUUUGGAGGAUCCUGCACCAGGUCUUUACUCUCUUGAGCUAGCUCCGGAUGAAAGCAAUUCAUAUAUCUUAUUGUGGAAUAGGUCUAGACAGUAUUGGACCAGCGGACCAUGGAAUGAAAGUUUGCGUAAUUUCAACAUGGUUCCUGAAUUGAGGCUAUUUAAUGACUUCAAUUAUAGUUUUGUUACGAAUGAGAACGAAAGUUAUCUCACAUAUUCUAUUAACAAUCCUAAAAUUGUAACUCGAGGCUUGAUGUCUGCCUCGGGACAGGUUCAGCAACUAACAUGGUUGGAGGCUUCCAAGCAGUGGAAUGUGUUUUGGUCUCAACCAAGACAGUGUGAUGUUUAUGCUUUUUGUGGGGCUUUCUCCAGUUGCAAACCCACAUCCUCGAACUACUGCAAAUGUUUGAAGGGCUUUGAGCCAAACCGACAGAGUGAUUGGGACUUGCAGAUUUAUUCCGGUGGAUGUUCAAGAAGAACCAGUGUUAAGUGUGGGAAUGCUACGGGAGACGGGUUUCUAGAAAAAAAUAGCAAGUCCUUCCUUGAAAAUAGCCAAUAUGAACCAGCUCCUAGUUUCGAAAGUUGUAGAUCAGCCUGCUUAAAUGAAUGCCAGUGCACUGCUUAUGUUUAUGACAGCAGCAAUGGAUGUUCAAUAUGGCAUGGAGAUGUCUUGAAUCUGCAAGAAUUCGAAGCAAAUGAUGGUGAUGGAAGAAUUUUAUACAUCAAAGCUGCAGCUUCCGACAUUGAGAAAAAACGUAAUAAGAGAAUGAUUAUUCAUGUCUACUUGGAGCCGUUAAUCUUGAUGUUGUCCCGAUGAUCGUUUUCUUCUCUUUGCAGGUGUAAUUAAGUUGUCCCCUUUGAUUGCAAUAGUCUCAACAAUCACAGGUUUGCUUGUUGUCAUUUUGGGCUAUUUCUUAUGGAAGAAAACAUUGGGAACAAAAAGUGAAGUUGCUGCUGGAGGUGAAAUGAAUGAUGCAGAACUGCCGAUCUUUGGUUUAAAGGCUAUAAUAGCUGCUACAAACAACUUCGCUGAAGCUAAUAAACUCGGAGAGGGAGGAUUUGGCCCUGUCUACAAGGUGACACUUCCACUUUGUACUCUAAAUACUAAUACAUUUGUCUCCUCAUGCACACUCCUUGUUUAUUUAUGACCCUUGGAUUGAAUAAUUUCAAGGAGAUGAAUCACAGGACAAAGUACACAUGGGUUUGCAGAAGGAGAAAAAAGGGUGUCUGAAAAUAAUUUCUCCUUUCAUAAACAUGACCGUAAAAGGGAAUCUUCUUCUCAACACAUUGAUUGCUUGUCCACUAGCCUUUCAUGAGUACUUCCAUUAGACAUGCCUUUCAUAAUUUUGUCUAGUCCACUAAUUGUCCAUUAGUCUUUCUUUACUAUUUCCAUUAGUUGUUGUCCGCUCCUUUGGCUCCUAUAAAGAGCAUCUCCAUUGUAAAUCAUGAUAGUGAAAUAUAACAUAUAUUCUAUACUCACCUUAAUUUGGUAUCAAGAGCAACAAAGCUCCAUCGAGCAAUUUUUUUUUCCCGAUCCUCAUGGCUGAAUCCACCAACUCACCCCCUUGCCCACUCCUGUCACCAUUAACGCUGCUGCUCAGUUACCUCUAAAACUCACACCCACCAACUUUCCUUCCUGGCGAGCUCAAUUCAAUGCCCUGCUUCUUGGGUAUGACCUGAUGGGUUACAUUGAUGGAUCAAAACCACGUCCUGCUGCCUCCUCUACUGUGUGCUACACCUUCUGGAUUCGUCAAGAUCAGCUGCUACUACAUGCUAUCUUAGCUUCUGUCUCUGAACAGAUUAUAUCUCUCAUUUCCUCCUCUAAAACAUCCAAGGAGGCUUGGGACAAGCUCACCAAGCUCUAUGCCAACAAAACACGCUCUCGGGUUCUCAACCUCAAAGAGCGUCUUACGUUCAUGCGUCGUGAUACACAACCUGUGUCAGUUUUUCUACAAGCUAUCAAAGCUAUCAUUGAUGAGCUUGCCAUCAUUGAUUCUCCACUCUCCGACGAUGAUGUUGUUCUACACGUCCUCAAUGGUGUUGGACCUGCCUUCAAAGAAAUCGUUGCCGUUGUUCGAGCUAGCGAUACCUCCAUCUCCUUUGAAAAUCUGUAUGACAAACUCAUUGAACAUGAAACUUUCCUCCAACGGGAUGCACCACCAGCUGCUGUUACUCCUAUGACUACCCUUGUUGCUCAAGCUCCCCGCUCCUUCCAACGUGACUUCAGGGCCACACAAGCCUCCCAACAACGUCCAACAAAUACCAUCUACAACUCUAACCGUGCUAACCACCACAACUCCAAUCAUCGUCGUUCUACUAUGGGGUAUCGUGGUUUUUGUCAAUGGUGUGGUACUCAAGGGCAUAGUGCAAAACGCUGCCCUCAACUUUCUUCCGCUCCACCCACGGUCAACCACACCACUAUCCGCCCCUCAACAUCAUCUCCUUGGCUGCUCGACUCGGGUGCCUCUCACCAUGUCACUUCUGACUCCAGGAACAUCCCGGACUCCACUACCUAUGAUGGUCCUGAUCAGAUUGUUAUUGGUAAUGGAACAGGUUUAAGUAUUACACAUGUUGGUUCCACAUCACUCUCUUCUUCCUCUACCACCCCAUUUCACUUAAAUGAUGUCCUGUGUGUUCCUUCCAUUUCCCGUAAUAUUAUUUCCAUUGCCAAAUUUAAUAGACAAAAUGCCACCUCUAUUGAAUUUUUUCCUGAUUCCUUUCUUGUCAAGGAUCUCAACACGGGAGCGGCACUUCUUCGAGGCCCGAAUAAGAACGAUACAUAUGAGUGGCCGUGCUUGAUGCCUCAAAAACAAGUUAUGAGCAGUGUGAUGGACUCCUCCAAUGUGUGGCACCGUAGGCUUGGUCACCCCAACCAUCGAACCUAUCUUCAAAUCCAACGUACCUCCUCCAUUCCUAUGUCUUCAACUCAUUCUGUUUGCACUUCUUGUCAUUGCAAUAAGAGCCACAAGCUCCUGUUUGGUCAUUCUACGCUUGUUAGUAAGCGUCCCCUUGAACUAAUUUAUAGUGAUGUAUAGGGUCCUGCUCCCUAUUUAUCUACUGAUGGUUUUUCAUACUAUGUUAUCUUUGUCGAUCAUUUCACGAAAUAUAUUUGGUUUUAUCCCAUGAAACACAAAUCCGAUGUUUUCUCAAUCUUCACAACCUUUAAAGCUCUUGUAGAAAACUACUUCCACACCAAAAUAAUCACCUUCUACUCUGACGGAGGAGGAGAAUAUGUUAAACUCAAACAUUUUCUUUCCACAAAUGGCAUCACUCACCUCACCACUCCUCCACAAACUCCUGAACACAAUGGUGUUACUGAACGCCGCCACCGCCAUGUUGUCGAAACAGGGUUAACCCUUCUCCACCAAGCAUCCUUACCCCUAACUUAUUGGUCAUAUGCUUUCAAAACUGCUGUGUAUCUUAUUAAUAGGAUGCCCACUCAUGUUCUCAAUAAUAUCUCUCCAUACAAAGCUCUCUUUGGUGAUCUUCCUAACUACAUUAAGCUUCGUGUGUUUGGUUGCUUAUGUUUCCCUUGGUUAAGACCCUAUAAUUCCAACAAGCUUCUUCCUCGAUCUCGUCCAUGUCUCUUUCUUGGUUACUUCUCUACUCAAAGUGCUUAUCUAUGUCUUAAUCUCCCUUCCCGUCGUAUGUUUGUUUCCCAUCACGUUCGAUUUGAUGAAAACACUUUUCCUUUUUCUUCUCGUGACUCCGUCAUCCCUUCAGUUCCUUCCCCCGACUCCACUGCAUGGUCUGCUGUCACAGCCGUCAUCUCCAUUCCUGCUCACAUUGCUGACGUGCCACCAGUUCCAUCACACACCUCUUCUCAGCAUGCUGCCACUCAAACGCCUUCGGAGGUCUCGGAGUUGUGUCUCUCCCCUGCACCAUCACCAUCUGCGACUGCUCACCCCCCAUCCCCACAUCAUCUCAUACCCACAUCUAUCAUUCCUUUACCCCCACCACCACCACCAAAUAAUUUCAACCAUCACCCCAUGACCACUAGAGCCAAAAACAAUAUCUUUAAACCUAAACAACUUUGCACUGCCACCAAACACCCACUUCCUUCUCCCAUUGAACCAACAUGUGUUUCUCAGGCUAUCAAAGAUCCUCUUUGGCGUGCAUCAAUGUCCGACGAGUUCAAUGCGUUAAUCCGCAAUGGCACAUGGGAGCUUGUUCCUCCUCAACCUUCACAGAAUCUUAUUGGGUGCAAAUGGGUCUUCCGCAUCAAAAGACAUUCUGAUGGCAGCAUUGAUAGGUACAAAGCACGCCUUGUUGCUAAAGGCUUUCACCAACGUCCUGGCGUGGAUUUCUUAGACACCUUCAGUCCAGUUGUCAAACCCAUCACCAUCCGUAUUGUUCUUCAUUUGGCUCUCACUCAUGGUUGGCCUCUUCGUCAAUUAGACGUGAACAAUGCCUUUUUGCAUGGAUCACUCUCUGAAGAUGUUUACAUGGUACAACCCCCCGGGUUCGGUGAAUCUACUGUUCCAACACAUGUAUGCAAACUUCGCAAAGCUUUAUAUGGCCUCAAGCAGGCACCCCGAUCAUGGUAUAAGGAGUUGAGCACCUUUUUGCUCAAUCAAGGAUUUGUCAAUGCCAUCUCAGACACCUCUCUCUUUAUUUUUCGUCAGGAUAAUGAUGUGAUCUUCCUUCUAGUUUAUGUUGAUGAUCUUGUUCUUACAGGAAAUAAUUCCAGUCUCCUCUCUACGUUUAUUCAAGCCUUGGCAAAUCGUUUUUCUGUCAAAGAUUUGGGGAACCUUCAUUAUUUCCUUGGGGUUGAAGUGAUACCCACCACCACGGGUUUGUUUCUUUCUCAACAUAAAUACAUCCAUGAUCUUCUCGCUAAAGCUAAAAUGGAUGGUGCUAAGGAUGUGACCACACCAAUGGCUACCUCUACUCUUUUGAUUCUCUUUGAUGGCUCUCCUCUCACUGAUGCUACUACCUUUCGACAACUUGUUGGAGGUCUCCAAUACCUCAGUCUCACCCGCCCUGACAUCUCAUUUACCGUCAACAAACUCUCACAGUUCAUGCAUCGACCAACUGAGUCUCAUUGGCAGGCCUUGAAACGUCUCCUCCGCUAUCUAAAAGGCACUAUUUUUCAUGGCAUUCUCUUCCGCUGCAGUGCCUCAUCUCGUCUAUAUGCCUUCUCAGACGCUGACUGGGCUGGUGAUCGUGAUGACCGUAAGUCUACCACGGGUUAUGUCAUCUAUUUGGGAGGCAACUUAAUCUCUUGGAGCUCUCGCAAACAACGUUCUGUCGCUCGAUCGUCCACAGAAGCAGAAUACCGCGCCAUAGCCUCUACUACUGUUGAACUAGCUUGGCUUCAAUCCCUUCUCCAUGAGCUUGGUGUCUCCUCAAUGGAUAAGCCAACCAUUUCCUGCGACAAUAUUGGGGCAACUUUUUAUAGUGUCAAUCCUGUUCUUCACUCUCGCAUGAAGCACAUUGAACUUGAUUUUCAGUUUGUUCGUGAUCGCGUCAAUCGCGGGCUUCUUCAAGUUUCACAUGUUUCUACUCAGGAUCAGCUUGCAGACGUCCUCACAAAAGCUCUUCCUCGUCCACGCUUCCAAUUGUUACGAUCCAAGAUCGGUGUCUCUGACGGGACCACCAUCUUGCGGGGGCGUAAAAGGGAAUCUUCUUCUCAACACAUUGAUUGCUUGUCCACUAGCCUUUCAUGAAUACUUCCAUUAGACAUGCCUUUCAUAAUUUUGUCUAGUCCACUAAUUGUCCAUUAGUCUUUCUUUACUAUUUCCAUUAGUUGUUGUCCGCUCAUUUGGCUCCUAUAAAGAGCAUCUCCAUUGUAAAUCAUGAUAGUGAAAUAUAACAUAUAUUCUAUACUCACCUUAAUUGACCGUUCUUUUGUACUUCUCUAACAAUUUUUUCUCUUGAGCGAUUUUCUUCCUCUAUACAGGGAAUUUUGGCUGAAAAUCAAGAAGUAGCCAUAAAAAGGUUAUCAAAAAAGUCAGGCCAAGGACACGAGGAGUUCAUGAAUGAGUUAAAACUUAUUGCCAAGCUCCAGCAUACCAAUCUCGUUAGGCUCCUGGGUUGCUGUAUUGAAGAGGAGGAAAUGAUAUUGAUCUACGAGUACAUGCCCAAUCGGAGCUUGGACAAACUUUUGUUUGGUAUAUACAUGCUAAUGACUUAUUAAUUCUUUCUUUCUGCACAUUGUUUUCCUUGUGUACAAAUGCCAUGUACUGCAAGAUCAAAUGCACUGUGUCCAAAUAUUUUAUCUAAAAUGAAAAGAAAAACACUUGCUCAUCUUUCUUCAUGGUUUGUCCAAUCAGAUGCAUCAGAAAAAAGAGAAUUAGAUUGGGGAAGACGUUUUCGAAUUAUAGAAGGCAUUGCUCAAGGAGUACUUUAUAUCCACAAGUACUCCAGAUUGAAAAUCAUCCACAGGGACCUAAAAGCAAGUAACAUACUGUUGGAUGGAGCCUUGAACCCCAAAAUUUCAGACUUUGGAAUGGCAAGGAUUUUCGGGAUAAAUCAGACUGAAGCAAAUACCAAUAGGGUUGUUGGCACAUAGUAAGUCUACAUACAUCUGGUACAUGUUUUCAUUGAAGUAAUGUUCUAUUGCUUACUUCUUUACAUACUGUCAAUUCAUGUGCAGUGGCUACAUGUCACCCGAAUAUGCGAGAUAUGGUCAUUUCUCUGAGAAAUUAGAUGUAUUCAGCUUCGGAGUGUUGUUGUUGGAGAUUGUGAGCGGAAAGAAGAAUGCUGCUUUUUAUCGCCUUGAACAUUCACCAACUCUUGCUGGAUGGGUAAGUACUGAAAAACUAUUCCAGCUAAUGAUCAUUCUGUUUUUAAGCCCUUCAAAUUCGCAAAUGACCAUACGUUCAACAUUUUAAUUAGGCAUGGGAGUUGUGGAAAGACGGAAGAGGAAUGGAGGUGAUUGAUGAAUCAGUAAGGGAAACAUACCGGCUCGAUGAAGCUUUGAAGUGUAUCCAUGUAGGGUUUUUGUGUGUUCAAGAAGCUCCAACUGAUCGGCCAACAAUGUCUUCGGUAAUUCGUAUGCUGCAGAGCAAUGAAUCUACAUCUCUUCCACCUUUCAAAGAACCUGCCUUUUCAACACACAAAAAUUCCAAUCCUGUUUGUUCUUCUCAAAUGCCUACCAUUUUUUCCUACAACACAGUCACCAUGACUUUGCCAGAAGGUCGAUAGGCGUUGGAGAGCGGUGACUAGCAAGCAGUUGAGAAAAUAGUAUAGUAUAUUAGAAUAAACACCCCAACAACUAGCAGUUUUAUACAACACUCAAGGGGUUCAAUUACACAUUACCGGAUAUGUUUGUGCAGUUUAUGGUUUUUGCCCAUCCAAACUAAACCUAUAAUAGUAGCAUAUUAGAUUUAUGUUAUGUAUUUUUCAACUGCAAAUAUGGGCGUAACCAUACUUCAAGAUAUGUUCCCGCUGCACCCCUUGGUGCAACUGUAUUUAUAUUAAAUUAAAAUGGAAUGUCACUUGUAUCAAAAGAAUAAAGUGGGUAUUUUUUUUACAUCUUCCAACUUUCAGAAGACAAAAACUGAAAACAAAAUUGGUCUAGAACAAAGGAUUUUACGUUAGUAUAUCCAUAAUUGGCAACAUGGGUUUUCCUAUGGUUGUAAUAGAAAAUUUGAAAUCAUCAUAUAGAAUCUACCGAAUGCAAGUUUGGCAACUAGAACUAAAAGUAAACUAUGUCCCCAGUCAGUUUUUUUAUCGACGAGGAUUCGAACUUAAUGCCUCUUUUAACAUUGAAAAGCAAAAUAUCAGUAGAACACUUGAUUCGCCUGAUCAUGUUAAACUCAAGCUUUGUCAAGCUGGAACACAUGCACCAGUCUGCUCGAACUAUAGAGGAACUGAAUGCACCCUGCAGAUCAAGUCAAUAAUAAAUCAAUUAAACAAACAGUUAGUGAAUAUCACUUCGAUCUAGAAAAUUUAUGGACCUGGAUAGUUUCACUUACAAGCUACAACUACAAAACAAACCACCGUAAGAGUGUGGAUCAACCAACGAAUGCGCCAUUUAAUAUCAUAUCAUCAAUUUGAGUUCAAUUAUCACCAAAGUAAGAGUCAGUUUGGUUACAAUUAGCACUAGUAAGGACAUCAGUUUAAUCUCGAACUCCGCCGCCAGUUUCGGCAUUAUUGUUCUCCACAACCUUGAAACCCAUGGUUGUGCUGAUUCUUUAUCGGGAUGAGCCCGAAAACACAAACAGAGAAAAGAAAAAAAGUUAAGAUUAAACUUAUGUUUGAGAGAGACAACAUGAGUAUGGUAUAUACAUGGAGGAAGUACAAAUAAAAUGUGUCAGUUUUGGGGCUUAGUUUUUUUGCUUCAAGUUUCUUCUUUUGAGUUUCUCUCGUACUUGUUUUCUUUUCUGAGAUGAAACCAUAGACGUGAAAACCAAGGGGAAAUAAGAAGAAAACUGUUUGGCUUCCUAAUAUGAUUGUUGAUUCUCUUACAAGUUUUUUCAAUUGGCUUGGGUUACUUGUAAACUCAUAUUCUUUCUUUUUUUCUUUUGUUCUUCAGUCAUCAAAGAUUCAUAUUGAUUCACGAUAUGAAUGGUUCAACUGCUAAUAACAAUUUAGUUUAGCGACACUUCGUCUUUAUAAUUCUAAAAGUCGAGUUCUUGUCUCAUGGCUUAAAUCGCUAAAUAGGAAUGUUGUCGGUAAGGUUGGUGGCAUUGUUUCUUGUUACUUUUUUCUGCCUGAUUUGGUUUCCCGUAUAUUUGGGUCCCUACAAUUGUGAUGUUACCCAUUUUGAUGCAAAAUGGAGGCAGGGUACUUAUGCUUCUUGUUUUGGAUAGAGAGUCUCAUCUUAUCCAACUAAACGUGUAAUGUGUUGAUUUUUAUUGAAUAGAGAUUUGCUUUUUAAAAACGUAAGCAACUCCAUGAGUGAGUGAUACCACUAAAACUAUACACACAAUGCAAAAGAGAACAUCUUGUUAGUUUGGCAAGUAAAUCCUGUUUCAAUCAAAAGAGAGAGAUAAUGUGGUUUAGUAAGCAUUGGAUAGAUCAUGCUUGUGGGAAUGGUAGGUGGUCUUGCUCAUUGGUCAUUGCUUGCUUCAUUCACUGAUUUUUCAAACAAUUAUUGCGUGGAACGGAAACAUCAGGUUAAUUGUUGUGUGUGUCAAUGUUAUGUUAAUUUUGAUAAAAUUACAUGUACAUGUGUUGUAGGAAUCAAAUUGAUGAACAUCAUAAAUAACACAGAGCAGGACGAUAAUUGAUAACACUACGUAAUCCUCUAGCUAUUAACGUUAGAACAUUUCCCUAAAAUCACGUCGUUCAUCACGUUUGCAUCCACACAUAAACAAACGUGAAAGACGCGACAUUGAUUGAUAUAAAAUGCAGAGGAUGAUAUUGAUGACUCAAAGGAUAAACCGCAAAAUAAUUGGAUCACACAAUGACAAAACUGUAUAGUACCAAGUGUUGUAAAGGUUAGUUGUAGGAUGUAGCCUACUAACCACAUGGAGUAAUACUAAGGAAAUUAAAUAUAUAGAUUAAAUUUGUAAACUGACUGAUGUAUUAUCAAUAGGAAAUAAACACACUUAUCAACGUUUAAGUAAUAAUCUAAUCAUCAACUUUCAUAUUAUUUAGUUUACAAAUUUAAUCUUCUUAGUAUUAUUUCAAGUUACUGUCCGAGGGAGUGGAGUGGGACCAACUCGGUUACCUCAUCGGUUCAUCCUGCAAAAUAACUGAACUUAACAAGUGCCACGCGUCAGUUAGAUAAUGACUAAUUUCAUUUUAUUUUUGUUAAUUAAUGAAUAUUACAGUUGCUCCGCAACUCACUCUUUUCUUGUUGAGUGACUUGAGGAAGCAGUCUCGUCUCACUUGAUCAGCCCCUCAAUUCUGGUCAACUUUUCCCAAAUGACGAUCUUGUCCUUCUUCACCAGAGCUUCAAGAGCUUUCAAUGGCCACCCUUCUGCCUCCAAGCUUCUGGUGCUUUGUACUAUCAGGUUCUCAAUUUUCUUGCUUACCAUGAAUUGGGUUGAAGUAUUUUCUAUCAUAACAUAUAAAGACACAUUCUUUUUUAGUUUUGGUUAUUUUCCUAUGAAGUAUCAGUUUUUUUCCUAGUUUAAGCAAAAUGUCAGCUCAUUAACUCUGAAUCUAAACUUUUCCUUGAAUCUCAGUUUAUCAACCACCAGACACUAGACUUUGUUUGGUUACUGAGAAAAUAGACUGCAAAUGUUUGUUUUGGAGUUUUAGCUAUGCUGAAUUUAUUCAAGGGAGAUUUUGGACGGUCAUUGGUUAUGAAUAUUUUUUUAUUGAAAUCUUCUUUGUUUUUAAUUUUUGAUCGAUGUUACUGAAAUUAAUGUGAUAAUUUAUUUAUAUGUACGUUACUAUAUUUUUUUAAAUUAAAAAUUAGAAAUUUUAGUUUUUAUUGUGGGAUUAAAAAUAUUAAAAAAAUAAAUAUACUAUUGUGUGUGUGUAUAUAAACAUGGAUACAUUCAUCAAAAUUAACCAAAAAAUUUAUUGUAUCAAAACUGACACACCCCAAUCCUAGAAUCAAGGCGUGAUGGCCGUCACGUGAGUGUGACGUAGCCAAAAGUGCGACGUGGAAGCAAAAGAUAAGAGAAAUAUGCAGGAAUUUAAAACAACUACUAGCAAUAAUAUCCAACUAGCAUGAUAAAGUGAGUUUAACAGUAAAACACACAAUUUCAGAGCGUAAAUACUAGGUGCAGUCAAGUAGGACUAUAAUUAAAUUACAACACCCGCAAGUGAGUCCUACAUGCAGGACGUAUGUCAGAACGCCGAAGAGAACCUUGUGAGCCACCAAUUGCUAACUAGAACCUGGAGGGGCGUAAAACAAAGUUGAGUGGGUCAGUAAAACCAAAGUUUUCUAAAACAUUUCAUUUAAAACAUUUCUAACCCCUCACUGUAAAACUUGUAUACUUUCCCAGAAAAUAACAUAAUAGCAUAAUAUUUGCUCAAAUUGCUCAAAACAUCAAUUUUAUCAAAAUCCAGUAAAUAUGCCAAGCAAUAAUGUCAACGAUUGAAAUAUGGAUGCAUCAAUAUGACAGGUGAUAUAAUGAAAUAACCGGAGACCCUUCGGCUGGCCCUGUACGGUUCAUUCUAUAGCUCAUUAUCCGACCCAACCGGAGUCACCACAGUGACCUAUACGGCCCUACUCUGCACAUCAAUCGGAACCACCUAAGGUAGUCUGUACGAUAGAAAAGGUGUACGAAUACGCUCUAGUGCUUCUCUCAUCAAUCAUCGGCGCGCAUAAUCUAAAGUCACCUACUAGUCGGAACCACCUCUAGCGAUCUAUACGACUAGCAUGUCGGAACCCUCACAUGGUCUGUACGACAUUCACCUACUUGGAUCCAAGGUGAGCGUGCGGUGCGGUGAAUAAUAUAAGCACUAACACCAAGGGUGCAAGUUAUGAGCUCUCAAUGCAAUUCACAUUAUAAUAAAUCAUAUAAAUAACGAGAAACUUAUCUGUACGUCCACAGCACCAAUUCAUAUAUAUAAAUGCAUCAAUUAUCAAUUCAUAUAUCUCAUAGUAUGCAUGCAUGACAUUUUAAAACGUAUUUUCAUAUAAUUUCAUUUUCUGGGAAAAUCAAUAGUAUAUAGGUAAUACGAAAACAAAACUGCCCACUCACUGGUAAGUCGAUGGGUCGUAACCCCCGUGACGUCCCUAGAUGUGCUUGUCCUCGGGAUAGGUGUCACCUAUAUGUGAAACAACUAUAAAAAUGUUAAUUAAAACACAUAACCGACAAAUCGAAAUAACUUCUCACACGGUGCUCAAUUUGGGUAUGUGAAUAUACCACAUCGACCUACUCGUCGUCACGAACGUCGAGGAAUUUUUAAAAUAAUUUUUUGACGUGGCAUGCGCCAGGGCAGGCACGGGGACACGUGCCCCCCACGCGCGUCUUCUUCCCUGGGUUCGCCGGACUGUGUUUUCCGGUAGCCGGAAAACUGGGGAUUUUUCAAUCCCCUUGUUCUCCUUCAUUUUUCACCCAUUUUCUUCAUAUUUUAUGUCAAAAUGAAGCCCUAAGCAUGUAGUUUCACAAUAUACUACUUUUAAGGCUCUAAAAACAACUAAAUCCCACAGGAAAACUUCCAAGAAAAACCGGCCAAAAUCGAACCUAGUGAUUCCAACGUCCAAAACCUUCAAACGAAGCACUCCGAGCUUCCUUGGGACCUCACUAAGCUCACUAUAAGCUUAGAAUUCCCUGAAAUGCAACAUAUCACGAUUGCAUGAAUAGUGACAUAAAAUGGGGGUUCGGGUUCCACGUGAUUUCGAAGGUUUCACUUCCUAAAAGUAGCACCAAACGACUCAGGAGGUCGAAAGGAUGAAGAACCAUACCUUUUUGGCUUCGAUCCGUGGAGUUUUGAUGUCCUUGGUCCAUGUCCGUACAAUUUCGAAGGGUGAGGGAGAUAUAACGGGGAAGAGAAAGGGAAAGCACAGGGGAAAGGGAGAGAGAGAAGACUGAGUGUGUGUGGUCCACCCUAAACCUUAACCACACAAAUAACAACCCAUUAAGCUAAUAAAAUUUUCCAAACUUAGGAAAAUAAACUUUAUGAACAAAGUAUGUCACACACUCACCUUAGUAACGUCAAGGGCAGCAUCGUCAUUUCACGUCCUCGAAAUAUAUAUUUCCGGAACGGGCUGUGACAAAAACAUGGAUACAUUCUUCAAAAUCACAAAAAAAGAAAAAGAUAUUAGGCUUUAUAAUAUUAGUAAAUUUCUUCAAUUAAACUUGACAUGAAUACAUUUUAAAAUCAAAGAAAAAAGAAUGUACCCAUAUAAGUUUAAAAAUAGAUUAGAAAAAAAUUGAAUAUAUUUUAUAUAAAAAAAGGUACAUUUUACAUAUAACAAAUUGGUAUAUUUUAGAAUGAGUACAUUUUAAGAUUAAAAAGUUUUAUAUGAAUGGGUACAUAUAAUUAGCAUGGGUACAUUUAGCAAAAUAAAAAGUACAAAUACAAAAAAUAUAUAUGGGUACAAAUACAAAUAAAAUUUUAAAAGAAUAUAGGCACAAAAAGAAAUUAAUAUAUAGGUACAAAUUAAAACUGAAAAAAAAAUGGUACAAGUUAAAAAAGAAUUACAAAUUAAAAAUGGAUACAAACUAAAACUAAAAAUAUAUGAUAAAAAAUUUAGUCAUAAAUAUAAAUAUACUAAUUGUAACAUUUUUAACAUUAAAUGAAUAUAUUUAGAAAUAAAAAAUAUUUUAUUAUUGAAAUAAUUAAUGAUGUUAUUAAUACCAAGGACCUUGAUAAAAAAUUGAAAAGGAAUAAGAUUUUAAUCAAUGAAGUGGAAAAAAGAAAGGAUGAGAACCUAAUUUCUCCUGUAUUUAAUUUGCUCUCUGUUUUCUCAGCAACAAAACAUGCCUUUUGAGGUUGUUAAUUCUUUUCAUGUGAUCUUUCACUGUGGAAAAGAAUCCUCACCUCUUAAGUUACCCUUUUGCUUGAUUAGCUUGAAGGCCUACAAUCAGUUUACAUAUUCUGUGACAUCCCACAUCGCUCAGGGAAAUGAUCCUUAAAUGUAUAUUCCUAUCCUUACCUAGCACGAGGCCUUUUGGGAGCUCAUUGGCUUCGGGUUCCGUAGGAACUCCGAAGUUAAGCGAGAAGGAGCCAGAGCACUCCUAUGAUGGGUGACCCACUGGGAAGUUGCUCGUGAGUUCCCAAAAACAAAACCGUGAGGGCAUUGUCGGGGCCCAAAGCGGACAAUAUCGUGCUACGGUGGUGGAACAGGCCCAGGAUGUGGUGGUCCGCCCCGGGCAGGGAUGUGACAAAUGGUAUCAGAGCCAAUCCCUGGCCGGAAGUGUGCCGACGAGGACGUCGGGCCCCUAAGGGGGGUAGAUUGUGACAUCCCACAUCGCCCAGGGAAAUGAUCCUUAAAUGUAUAUUCCUAUCCUUACCUAGCACGAGGCCUUUUGGGAGCUCAUUGGCUUCGGAUUCCAUCGGAACUCCGAAGUUAAGCGAGAAGGAGGCUAGAGCACUUCCAGGAUGGAUGACCUACUGGGAAGUUGUUCGUGAGUUCCCAGAAACAAAACCGUGAGGGCGGGGUAGAGGCCCAAAGCGGACAAUAUCGUGCUACGGUAGUGGAGCGGGCCCGGGAAGUGAUCCGCCCCGGGCCGGGAUGUGACAUAUUCCAAGUACCUUGACAUAGAUCUACUACUAAAAGGGUCAUGUUGAAGAUUUACAAUAGUUUACCAAAGCAUGUGUUUUUACCUUUUUCUUUUGUUUGAAUUGUUCGAUCCACAUUGAUAAGAUCAAAAUCUGUAAGCCCUUAAUCAACCUACAAGUAACACAGAGGAUAGAGAGGAAGAGGGAAGGAAGAUGAAGGAGCAGAGCUCCAGAUAUUUUUGUAUUUAAUUUUUUUCUUGUAAAUUAUGUUCUGAUUUGUUUCCUGGGAGCUAGGCUCCUUUUAAAUAGUUAACUAGGAUUAGGGUUUCUCAUCUUUGUUUUUAAAUCACCAUUUUCUAAUCUUUGUUUUUAAAUAGUUAACUAGGAUUAGGGUUUCUCAUAAAUUGUUUUAAAUAAUGCCAGCGGAAAACGACCUUGCUUGAGCCGUUUAUACUACAACAACCUUGUUCUCUUGCAAGUAUUUUGUUUGAUUUUAUCCCUACUUUUGUAGGUGGUAAAAUACCUAUCAAGUGACGCCACUAAAACUAUGCACACAAUACAAAAGAGAACCUCUUGUUAGUUUGGCAGGUACAUUAUGUUUCAAUCAAAAGAGAGAGAGAUAAUGUGGUUUAGUAAGCAUUGGAUAGAUCAUGUUUGUGGGAGUGGUAGGUGGUCUUGUUCAUUGCUCAUUGGUCAUUGCUUGCUUUAUUACCUGAUUUUUCAAAAAAUUAUUGCAUGGGAUGGAAACAUUAGGUAAAUUGUUGUGUGUGUCAAUGUAUGUCAAUUUUGAUAAAAUUACAUGUACAUAUGUUGUAUGAGUCAAAUUGAUGAACAUCAUACGUUAUACAGUGCAUGACGACAAUUGAUAACACUACGUAAUACUCUAGCUAUUAACAUUAAAACAUUUCCCUAAAAUCACAUCGUUCAUCACAUUUGCAUCCACACAUAAGCAAACGUGAAAGACGCGACAUUGAUUGAUAUCAAACGUAAUACUAAGGAGACUAAAUUUACAAAUUAAUUAAUGUGUCACCAAUAUGAAAUGAGCAUGCUUACCAACGUUUAACCAAUAAUUUAAUCAUCAACUUCCAUAUCAUUUAGUUUAUAAAAUUUAGUUUACAAUUUAAUCUCCUUAGUAUUACUUCAAUAAUCACGUUACUGUCCGAGGGAGUGGAGUGGGACCAACUCGGUUACCUCAUCGGUUCAUCCUGUAAAAUAACUAAACUUAACAAGUGCCACGUGUCCGUUAGAUAAUGACUAAUUUCAUUUUAUUUUUGUUAAUUAAUGAAUAUUACAGUUGCUCCGCAACUCACUCUUUUCUUGUUGAGUGACUUGAGGAAGCAGUCUCGUCUCACUUGAUCAGCCUCUCAAUUCUGGUCAACUUUUUCCAAAUGACGAUAUUGUCCUUCUUCACCAGAGCUUCAAGAGCUUUCAAUGGCCGCCCUGUAGCCUCCAAGCUUGUGGUGCUUUGUACUAUCAGGUUCUCAAUUUUCUUGCUUACCAUGAAUUGGGUUGAAAUAUUUUCCAUCAUAACAUAUAAAGACACAUUCUUUUAAGUUUUUUUUAUUUUUCGAUGAAGUAUCAGUUAUUUUCCUAGCUUAAGCAAAAUGUCAUAGAUCUACCACUAAAAGGGUCAUGUUGAAGAUUUACAAUAGUUUACCAAAGCAUGUCUUUUUACCUUUUUCUUUUGUUUGAAUUGUUCGAUCCACAUUGAUAAGAUCGAAAUCUCUAAGCCCUUAAUCAACCUGCAAGUAACACAGAGGAUAGAGAGGAAGAGGGAAGGAAGAUGAAAGAGCAGAGAUCCAGAUAUUUUUGUAUUUAAUUUCUUUCUUAUAAAUUCUGUUCUGAUUUGUUUCCUGCGAGCUGGGCUCCUUUUAUACAGACUCCACUCCUUAAAAUGCCAGCUGGCAUAUUUAGCAAUCCUUAAUAAUAAAAACUAACGCAUAAAACAUUCAAUUAAAUCUCUAAAUCACCGAUUAAGACAAUCACAAUUGAGACCUAUUUUGGGUUCAUAACACACAUUGUCAUAGGCAAGCAAAUGUAGACCAAGUGCAUUAUUUCUAAAAAAAAUGAAGAAAACUUCGCUCGCUUGACCUCAUUCUCGAUCAUAGUUUUUCUGUUUUGAUUUCCGUCUGGAUUAUUGGAGUAGUGGUAGGUCUCGUGGCGUAUGCAGAAUUGCAGUCCAACGUUGGCCCUCCUAUUGUCGAUCCUAAUCAUAAGACAAAUUAAUGAAGAUUGGUCUCAAAUCGAGACAUGCAUUAUCGACUGCUCUUUUCUUUCUUAAACAUUAUUUACUUGAUCUACAAGUCGUGUGUGUUUAACUUUUAUGUCAUGGCAGAGAAAUGGAGAGAUCCAAUAUUGGGAAGCAGAAUGCGUCAAGAUUGAUGCAGCAAAAAAAUGUUUCCAUGCGGGCUAAUUUUGACCAAAACUUUGGUGGGAAAUAAGGAAUUUUCCCUUGAAUAUGACUACUUGGUCAUAGCAUUAGGAGCACAAGUGAACACUUUUAACACCCCUGGUGUAAAGGAGAACAGUCAUUUUCUGAAGGCAAGUCCGAUCCCUUGCGCAGGGAGAACCUACUCGUGGAAACUAUGAUCGCUUGACAGAAACGAUGUAGCUGAGGCAUUGUAAUCAUAGUUCUAGGAUUCGUGUUUUUGUUGGUUUUUUUGUGUUGAAAUGUUGGUUUUGAGUUUCAACUCUACCCUUACCUUUUUCGAUCGGGUGUAGGGUCUGAAAUAACUCAUAAAUUGGAGUGUUGUCUAUCAGCUUCAUCUUGUGUUAUUGGUCGAGACUGGAACAGCACUACAUCUAAUCACACUAAUUUUGUUUCAUUUAUGGUUUUGUGAUUCAUGUUAAAUUUCAUCUAAAUUUAUGUUGGUGGUGACAUCUUUAUGCUCAAUUGCUGCAGCUGGACUCUUUUAUUAAUUGAAUUGGGUUUAAGUAAAUUAUAUAGUAAUAAUAAUUUCUAAACCCUACAGGACCCACCUCGUCUCCACUGAUUAUGUUCUUGAGAGUACCCUAAAAAGGAACAUUUUCUCUUCCCAGCCGUUUCGUCCGUGGAUUCUCUUUCUCUUAUGAUUUUGUUUUUCGAAUGCAAUCGAAUUAGCUGCUAUAUGGACCCUUUCCUAUCUGUUGUUCCCAGCGCUUUCCCAGGCCAAGCUGGAAUUAAAAAAAUAGGAAGGCAAAGCUCUGCUAAUCUUUUUGUUUUUGGGGGAUUUAGAUUUUGUAGUGAUUAAUUAGUUUGCAGUAGAAUCAAGUGGUACGAACAAACAUCGACACAAGAGGAUGAUUGAUGGAGAAAAUGACGUGUGGAAAUCAUUACCUUCGAUUAGUCAUGUGUUGAUGGGUUCAGAUUGUACAAUCUUUUGAUUGGAGUUCAGACCAAAAACAGACUUAGACUUGUAAAUGAAUCUUCUUGUAAACUUUGUGGUACUGCGAAUUUGAAAAUUUUCAACAUAUCUUUGUUUUUUGCGAUCAAUUUUUGUUAGUAAAACUUGUAUUGAUGGGAAAAGAUUAUGAUAAUUAACAACAUUUAAGCUCAAACACUCUUGAACCCCAUUGAAAUAACAUGAACCAUAAUUUGUUGCAAGCAUGUGUGAUUAGUAUGUACAUUAGCUUGCAGUUGAAGCAAUCUCACUCCAACAUUUCCUAAUCUAACUUGAAAUAACACAUCAACAAUGGUCAUGCCCUUUCCAUACGUUGUACUUUCUACGAAGACUAGGUUCAUAUGCCAGCAACCGUGUACGAAGGGUUGAAUACUUGACUUAGUUGACUUGCAAUGAUCACCACAAAAAGGGCAUAUAGGUUAAGUUCCAGUAACAUGCAUACGGUAAAUCUUUGCCUGCCUGCUGAAUUCUUUGUGCAGCCAUGAAUACCAAACCAAACUCAAAGUUCGUGUUCUCCAUUAUUUUAUUAUGUGCAUUUCUCGAGUCCCAUGUUUCCCUUGCAGCUGACACCAUCAGCGAAAACCAAUCUCUCUCGGGCGAUCAAACCAUUGUCUCUGCAGGUGGGAUGUUUGAGCUAGGUUUCUUCAAACCAGGUCAGCUUUCAAACUACUAUAUAGGCAUAUGGUACUCCAAGCAAGUGGCAUCUGAGAUGACCGUUGUUUGGGUAGCAAAUAGGGAAAUACCGGUAUCUGAUAGAUUUUCUUCCGUGUUAACCAUCUUAGAUGGUAAUUUAGUUCUCUUGAACAUGUCCAAAAUCCCGGUUUGGUCAACAGAUUUAAACUCCACUACCAGUUCUGGUUCUGUACUAGCAGUUCUUUUGGAUAGCGGAAACCUUGUCUUGAUAGCCGGCUCUAGUAAUAAUACAUCAGAGCCUUUAUGGCAAAGCUUUGAUCAUCCAACCCAUGCUUUGCUACCAGGAGGUAAACUUGGAUUCAACAAAAUUACAAAUCAUACCCAAUUUGUCACUUCAUGGAAGAAUUUGGAGGAUCCUGCACCAGGUCUUUACUCUCUUGAGCUAGCUCCGGAUGAAAGCAAUUCAUAUAUCUUAUUGUGGAAUAGGUCUAGACAGUAUUGGACCAGCGGACCAUGGAAUGAAAGUCUGCAUACUUUCAACGUGCUUCCUGAAAUGAGGAUAGAUCAUAACUUCAUUUAUAAUUAUGUUACAAAUGAGAACGAAAGUUAUUUCACAUAUUCUUCUAACAAUCCUAAAAUUGUAUCUCAAUACUCGAUGUCUGCCUCAGGACAGAUUCAGCUACUAUGGAUGGAGAAUUCCAAGCAGUGGGAAUUGUUUUGGUCUCAACCAAGACAGUGUGAUGUUUAUGCUUCUUGUGGGGCUUUCUCCAGUUGCAAACCCACAUCCUUCAACUACUGCAAAUGUUUGAAGGGCUUUGUGCCAAACCGGCAGAGUGAUUGGGACUUGCAGAUUUAUUCUGGUGGAUGUUCAAGAAGAACCAGUGUGACGUGUGGGAAUGCUACGGGAGAUGGGCUUCUAAAAUUAAAUAGAGUCAUUGCCUGAUAAUUGAAAAUAUGAUGGUACUCUUAGUAUCGAAAGUUGUAGAUCAGCCUGCUUAAAUGAAUGCCAGUGCACUGCUUAUACUUAUGGCAGCAGCAAUGCAUGUUCAAUCUGGCAUGGAGAUGUCUUGAAUCUGCAUGAAGUUGAAGCAAAUGAAGGUGAUGGAAGUACUUUAUACGUCAGAGCGGCAGCUUCUGACAUCAAGGAAAAACGUAAUAAUAGAAUGAUUAUUCGUGUUGCAAUUAGUGGUCAUUGUUUUGGCGCCAUUAUCUUGAUGUUGUCAACAAAAUCUUUUUCUUCUCUUUGCAGGUGUAAUUAAGCCGUCCCUUUGGAUUGCAAUAGUCUCAACAAUCACUGGUUUAAUUGUUGUCGUUUUUGGCUGUUUCUUAUGGAAGAAAACUACGGGAAAGAAAAGGUACUGCUACCACCGAUCUCAUCUCUCUCUGUGUCUUUUUCUCUCAAACGUGUUCUAAUACUAUGACUAAAACAGAAAGCAUAAGAAGAACCAUACUGAGAGUAAAAGUAAAUUUGAUGUUGGAGGUGGAGGUGGAAAGGAUGAUGCAGAACUACCGAUCUUCGGUUUAAGGGCUGUAGUAGCUGCUACAAACAACUUUGCUGAAGCUGAUAAACUCGGCGAGGGAGGAUUUGGCCCUGUUUACAAGGUGACACUUCCACCAUGUGCUUUAAAUACAAGUACAUUUUUCUUCUCCUGAACACCUUUGUUUAUUUCUGACCUAAACAAAUAUCCAAGGAGAAUUAAAGGACAAAAAUAAAUAGGAGUGUGCAGGAGAAAAAAGCUGUCCAAAAAUCAUUCCCCCUUUCGAAAAUAUGAUUUUUUUUUUUCUUUGAACUUCAAAAAAUGUUCUCUUGUGCGCUUUUCUUCCUCUGUACAGGGAAUUCUGGCUGAAAGUCAAGAAGUAGCCAUUAAAAGGUUAUCAAAAAGGUCAGGCCAAGGACACGAGGAGUUCAUGAAUGAAUUAAAACUUAUUGCCAAGCUCCAACAUACCAGUCUCGUUAGGCUCUUGGGUUGCUGUCUUGAAGAUGAGGAAAUGAUAUUGAUCUACGAGUACAUGCCCAAUCGGAGCUUAGACAAACUUUUAUUUGGUAAAUACAAGCUUAUGACUUAUUAAUUCUUUGUUUCUGCAAAUUAUUUUCUAUUGAUGUUUUGAUGUCUAUUUCAUAUCAUUAACUGUUACAAGAUCAAAAAUACAUAUAGAGGAAGAGACGGGAAAGUAGAAGGGAAAACGAGAGGUGGAGGACAAUGACAGCCCAAGCACUCAUGGUGACAGCCAAAGCACUCCAAAGCACUCAUGGUGACAGCCAAAGCACACAUGGUGAUGGCCUCCACCCUACCUAACUUAAGCCACUAACUUAACUUUACAAUUAUGAGGGAACAUUAUCACUUUAAUUAUACUAGCACUAAGACUAGACAAAAGCUUGCAUUAUUCUUCCAACAUUUAACCCUACUUCCAAUAAUAACUUCCAAUACUCCCCCUCAAGCUGGAUCCAGAAGGUUGAUGGAUCCAAGCUUGGAGAGGAGCCUUUGAAACUGAUGAGAAGCCAGAGGUUUGGUCAAUAUAUCAGCCAGCUGAUCGGAGCUUUUUACAUAAUGCGUCUGAAUCACCUGCGACUGUACUUGUUCACGGACAUAGUGGCAGUCGACUUCAAUAUGCUUCGUCCUCUCGUGAAAGACGGGGUUUGAUGCUAUGUGCAUGGCAGCCUGAUUGUUACAAAAUAAGGUCAUUGGUUGAGCCGUGAACACACCUAAGUCACAUAAAAGUUCUUUCAGCCAUAUUAGCUCACACGCGGUUGGGGCCAUUGCACGAUAUUCAGCUUCGGCACUUGAUCUUGCGAUGACAGUUUGUUUUUUGCUCUUCCACGUGACCAAGUUUCCACCAACAAAGGUGCAGUAACCAGUGGUGGACUUGCGAUCGAUGGCGUUUCCUGCCCAAUCUGCAUCGCAGUACCCCAUGAUUUGAGUGUUGUCAUUCUUCGCCAUGAGGAUGCCACGACCAACGGACCCUUUCAAGUAACGUAAGAUCCUUUUGACAAGGUUCAUAUGCUCGAUGGUGGGGGAGUGCAUGAACUGACUGGCGAUACUUACUGAAUAUGAGAUGUCCGGUCUGGUGAUCGUUAGGUAGAUCAGCUUGCCAACAAGCCUCUGAUAGAAGCUAAUAUCCGAGAGUGGCGUGCCUCCCAAGUCAAGUUUGAGCUUGCUAUCGAGAGGGGUAAGUGCAGGCUUAGCAUCACUCAUAUUAGCGUCCUUGAGUAGGUCCAUGACGUAUUUUCGUUGAUUAAGAAAUAGUCCCUUGUGAGAAUAUGCCAUUUCGAUUCCAAGAAAAUACUUCAACACCCCAAUAUCUUUAAUCGCAAAUAUUUGUUGAAGUGACUGUUUGAGUGUGGAGAUUUCUGCAACAUUAUCACUUGCAAUUAUUAAGUCACCCACGUAUAUCAACACAACUAAUUUGCUCACAUCUCCUGUGCGAACAAAUAAUGAUGAAUCUGCAUUACUCAUUUUGAAACCAACACUAAGAAGGACGGAACUUAGUUUUGAAUACCAAGCACGAGGCGAUUGCUUCAAUCCAUAAAUCGACUUAUGCAACUUACACACCAAAUCAGGCUCUUGGCUUUGAGGGUGUCCUGGUGGCAAUCUCAUAUAGACCUCUUCUUUAAGAUCACCAUGUAGAAAGGCGUUAUUCACGUCCAUUUGGUACAUGGACCAACCCUUAUUGACGGCAAUAGACAAUAUGACCCUAACUGAGUUCAUUUUUGCAACAGGAGCAAAUGUUUCUUUGUAAUCCACCUCAAAUGUUUGAGUGAAUCCUCGAGCCACCAGCCUGGCUUUAUGCCUCUCAAUCGAACCAUCAGAAUUAAACUUGAUCUUAUAGAUCGAUUUGCAGCCCACUGCCCUUUUUCCUUUUGGAAGUUUGGUGAUGCUCCAGGUGUUGUGUUGGUCUGGUGCUUUGAGUUCAUCUCGCAUUGCUUCUUUCCACACAACUUGGUUAUUAGCCUCAUGAAAGUUUUGAGGCUCACUGUGACUUGAAAUGGUGUUAAGAAAGGCAGCAUGAGAUGGAGUUACCUUUUGAUACGACACGCAAUUGGAGAUUGGAUGUCUCGGUUUAUAUGUGACAAAAUCUUGAAACCUCGUGGGAGGUUGUCUAUCACGUCGAGGAUUGCGUCGAGGUACUGGGAGAGUUGUCUCAUCCUCGUUUAAAUUAUCAGCCACACUUUGAAGAUUUUCCAUGUUGCCGCUGUCAUCAUCAUGUACAGAACCAUCAGGGUGAGUGCCUUCAUUGUUGACUUCAGUGAGAGGUGUAGGAGAUUCAUCAAUGUUGUCAUGGUUAGAACCUCUGUCGUUUGAAACAUCUGGAGUGUUGAUUCUUGGUAGAGGAAGUAGGUCUAAGAAACACCCCCCCUGACUUGUGGCUUCAUGUGAUUUGCUGAAAAAAGGGUUAGCUUCAUGGAAUUGUACAUCUUUGGAUACAAUUAUUUUUCUCAUUUGAGGAUCAUAGCACUUGUAUCCUUUUUGUGUUGAUGAAUAACCAAGAAAAAUACAUUUGAGAGCUCUAGGGUCCAAUUUAUCUCGAUGUUGUGGCUGAACAUGAACAAAACAUACACAACCAAAGACUCUAAGAUGUGAAAGUUCGAUUUUUCUUCCUUUCAUGACUUCAAGUGGAGAUUUAAACUCCAAGACUCGGCUAGGAAGUCUAUUGAUGACGUACACAGCCGCCAUGACUUCUUGUGACCAAAAUCUCUUUGGUACAUUCAUUUGUAACAUUAAUGCUCUCGUUUUUUUCCAGUAUGUCACGAUUUUUCCUUUCGGCUACACCAUUUUGUUGAGGUGUACCAACACAACUUGUUUGAUGCAUGAUACCAUGCUUGCUCAAAUAUUGUGACAUGACAUGGGACAUAUAUUCGGUGCCAUUGUCAGAUCUUAAGGUUUGAAUUUGAGAGGAAAAAUGGUUCUUAACAAGGUUGUGAAAAUCUUUAAAAACUUCCAUCACUUCACUCUUAGACUUUAAAAGGUACAACCAUGUGGCUCUAGAGAAAUCAUCAACAAAGAUUACAUAAUACUUAUAACCAUCAAACGAUUCAAACGUUGGUCCCCAUACAUCUGAGUGAACUAGUUCGAAAACUUUACUAGUCCUAGAUAAGGAUGAGUUAAAAGGCAAUCUAGUGGACUUAGACAAAUGACAUGUUUCACACGAAAUUAAAUCAUUCCCUAAGUUUGGAAACAACGAUGACAAAACAGGUUGGGAAGGAUGAGCUAAACUUUGAUGCCACAAUUGACUAUCCUGGGAUGGAUUGGACUUGGCUUGAAAUCCUCUGGGACAGCUCUUUGAUAUGUAAUAGAGACCAUCUAGGUAAAACCAUUCACCAAUCGUCUUCUUGGUGAGACAAUCUUGAAAAAUGACAUUGUAAGGAGAGAAGAUGGCUAAACAAUUCAAGGUAUUGGUGAUUUUUCCCACAUAUAGAAGUUGAAAUGGAAAAGAAGGUACAUAUAAGGCUACUGACUCAAUUUUGCCCGACAUUAAGUUGAUAUUUCCCUUUCCUAAAACCUUGGAACUCUCACCAUUGGCAGUUGAGACUUGAGAAGGUUGUGAAAAUUUUUCAAACGUGUGAAACUUAGAAACAUGAUUGGUCAUCUGAUCUGUGGCACCCGAAUCAACAAUCCAAAAAUCAUGCAUCAUAUUUACUUUAAGAGCAGUUUUGAAAGCAGUCAUGAUACCUAGCAUGUCAUCUCGGGGUAUGUGUUGUGUGUCUGUCAGAAAACCAGCGAACUUGCCUAGCAAUGCUGUUGAGUUUCCAUCUUCAAAACGGACCAUCUGAUCACUCUUAUUCCAUUCUUUCUUGCUUUGAAGAUAUGCUGCAAACUCAUUUAUGAGUGCAGCCGGAUUUGUUGUGAAGCUCUUGAGUGCAUCAAACCCAUGUGAGGUUGCGGCAGAUGUAUUGUUGGCUUUGUGUGUUGCACGGUUCAGUCUUUGUGAGCCCUUGUUAUCCUUCAUGAACUCCGGCUUUAGUUCUGGAUGUAAAAUCCAUCAUGUCUCCUUAACAUGACCAGUAUAGUUGCAGUGUUGGCACUUUAAGUGUGGAUUAUUCACAUUGUAUUUUCUUUCGUUGGUUAGGUAAGCCCUUGCUUCAGUUACACUGGUCUUUGUGCCAAUGUUCAUAAACUUUCCUUCGUACUUCUUCACGUUGGAUUGUUGCACAUACACUGGUGAAUGAAGGUAGUUCGGGGUUCAUGAGUAUGUGACUUCGUAGGUCUUCGUAUCCUGAAUCGAAGCUUGACAAGAAUUGGAAUAUCUUGUCUUCUUCUGCCCUUUUCAGUAGUACCGACGCUUCAGUUGUAUGAGGCGAUACAUUUCCAACUCAUUCCACCUGCUCUUCAUGCUGCCUAGAAGUUGAACAAAGGGCUUUCCUUAUUGUUAUAGGUUGGAAAUGUCCUUCUUCAAUUAAAACACACGUGCAGCAUUAUUCUGGCUGCCAUACAUCUCCUUGACUGUCUCCCAUAGCUUGAAUGAUGAUUCAAAAUAACUGAAUAUUUUAGCUAGUUUACGUUCCAUGGAAUUUAGGAGCCAUGACAUAACUAGUUGAUCCUUGCAAAGCCAGGUUUCAUAUGUUGGUGAGGAAGCAUUAGGAACUUCGAUGCUUCCAUUUAUGAACCCUAGCUUGGACCUUCCACCUAGGGCAAGACUCACUGCUCUCGACCAAGGUAAGUAAUUAAACUCAUUUAACAAGACCGAGCUUAAUCUUUGAUUUGGGUUGACAUCCACCUCAGACAAAGUUAAGGAGGAAAGUAUCUGGGAAUUUUCCGCCUCAGACGAAGAAGAAUUUUCUUCCGCCAUAUCGGAGAUGGAGUACGAUCAGAUGGUGGGAGUGCAGAAGCAGGUUAUUUUUCCUGCUCAGAUACCAUAUUGAUGUUUUGAUGUCUAUUUCAUAUCAUUAACUGUUACAAGAUCAAAAAUACAUAUAGAGGAAGAGACGGGAAAGUAGAAGGGAAAACGAGAGGUGGAGGACAAUGACAGCCCAAGCACUCAUGGUGACAGCCAAAGCACUCCAAAGCACUCAUGGUGACAGCCAAAGCACACAUGGUGAUGGCCUCCACCCUACCUAACUUAAGCCACUAACUUAACUUUACAAUUAUGAGGGAACAUUAUCACUUUAAUUAUACUAGCACUAAGACUAGACAAAAGCUUGCAUUAUUCUUCCAACAUUUAACCCUACUUCCAAUAAUAACUUCCAAUAUUUUCCUUGUGUGCAAAUGUCAUCUACUGCAAGAUGCACAUUAUGCCCUGUGUCCAACAUUUUAUCUAAAAUGAAAAGAAAAACACUUGCUCAUCUUUCUUCGUGGUUUGUCCUAUCAGAUGCAUCUGAAAAAAACUGAACUAAAUUGGGGAUGACGUUUUCGAAUUAUAGAAGGCAUUGCUCAAGGAGUACUUUAUAUCCACAAGUACUCGAGAUUGAAAAUCAUCCACAGGGACCUAAAAGCAAGUAACAUAUUGUUGGAUGAAGGCUUGAAUCCCAAAAUUUCAGACUUUGGAAUGGCAAGGAUUUUCGGGAUAAAUCAGAUUGAAGCAAAUACAAAUAGGGUUGUUGGCACAUAGUAAGUCUACGUAUAUCUGGUACAUGUUUUCAUUGAAGUAAUGUUCUAUUGCUUACUUCUCUACAUACUGUCAAUUCAUGAGUAGCGGCUACAUGUCACCCGAGUAUGCGAGAUAUGGUCAUUUCUCUGAGAAAUUAGAUGUAUUCAGCUUUGGAGUGUUGUUGUUGGAGAUUGUAAGCAGAAAGAAUGCUGUUUUUUAUCGCUUUGAACAUUCACCAACUCUUGCUGGAUGGGUAAGUACUGAAAAAUGAUUCUAAAACUCAUGGUCAUCCUUUCUUUAAGCCUUCCAAAUUCGCAAAUGACCGUAAACUCAACAUUUUAAUCAGGGAUGGGAGUUGUGGAAAGAAGGAAGAGGAAUGGAGGUGAUUGAUGAAUCAGUAAGGGAAACAUGCCAGCUCUAUGAAGCUUUGAGGUGUAUCCAUGUAGGGUUUUUGUGUGUUCAAGAAGCUCCAGCUGAUCGACCAACAAUGUCUUCGGUAAUUCGUAUGUUGCAGGGCAAUGAAUCUACAUCUCUUCCACCUUCCAAAGAACCUGCCUUUUCAACACACAGAAAUUCCAGUCAUGUUCGCUCUUCUCAAACGCCUACCAUUUAUUCCCACAAUGCAGUCACCAUGAGUUUGCCAGAAGGUCGAUAGGCGUUGGAAGAGCAAUGACUGGCAAGCAGUUGAGAAAAUAAUAUAGUAUAUUAGAAUAAACAUCCCGACAACUAGCAGUUUUAUACAAACACUUCGGGUUCAAUUACACAUUACUCGAGCUGUUUGUGCAUUUUAUGGUUUUUGCCCAUCCAAACUAAACCUAUAAUAGCAGCAUAUUAAAUUUAUGUUGUAUUUUUUAGCUGCAAAUGUGGGUGUAACCGUACUUCUAGAUAUGUUCCCGCCACACCUCUUGGUGCAACCGUAUUUAUAUUAAAUUAAAAUGGAAUGUCACUUGUAUCAAAAGAAUAAAGAGGAGAUUUUUUUUACAUAUUCCAACUUUCAGAAGACAAAAACUAAAAACAAAAUUGUUCUAGAACAAAGGAUUUACAUUAGUAUAACCAUAAUUGACAACAUGGGUUUUCCUAUGGUUGGAAUAGAAAAUUUGACAAUCAUCAUAUAGAAUCUACCGAAUGCAAGUUUGGCAACUAGAACUACAAGUAAACUAUGUGCCCGAUCAGUUUUCUCGUCGACGAAGAUUCGAACUUGAUGCCUCUUUCAACAUUGAAAAACAAAAUAUCACUAGAACACUUGAUGAGCCUGAUCAUGUUAAACUCAAGUUUUAUUGAUGAGAGUAUGGGCUGGUGAUGAUGAGCUCUCGGCAAGCAGCGGGGCUGCUUGGCCUCCAAGAAUAAAUGGAUUCGAACAUGCACCAGUCUGCUCAAACUAUAGAGGAACUGAAUGCACCCUGCAGAUCAAGUGUCAAUAAUCAAUCAAUUAAACAAACAGUUAGUGAAUAUCACUUCGAUCUAGAAAAUUUAAGGACCUUGAAUAGUUUCACUUACAAGCUACAACAACAAAACAAAUCAACAUAAGAGUGGAUCAACCAACGAAUGCACCAUUCUAGUUGAGUCCGAUUACCACCAAUGUAAGAGUCAAUUUUGUUACAAUUAGCACCAGUAAGGACAUCAGUUUAAUCUCGAACAAAGCUCCGCUGCCAGUUUCGGCAUUAUUGUUCUCCCCAACCUUGAAACCCAUGAUUGUGCUGAUUCUUUAUCGGGACCAGGCCAAAAAACACAAACAGAGAAAGAAAAAAAAAGGAUUAAACUUGUGUUUGAGAGAGAAAACAUGAGUAUGGUAUAUAAAAAUGUUGUAGGCAAGGUAGGUAGCAUUGUUUCUUGUUACUUUUUUCUACCUGAUUUGGCUUCCCGUAUAUUUUGGGUCCCUACGAUUGUGAAGUUACCCAUUUUGAUGCAAAAUGGAGGCAGGGUACUUAUGCUUCUUGUUUGGAGAGAUAGUUUAAUUAAAUGUGUCAUGUAUCAAAAAAGGUUUACUUUUAAAAAACAUAAACAAAGUUCAUUGAGUGAGUGACGCCACUAAAACUACGCAUACAAUGCAAAAGAGAACCUCUUGUUUGUUUGGCAGGUAAUUCCUGUUUCAAUCAACAGAGAGAUAAUGUGACUUAGUAAACAUUGGGUAGAUCAUGCUUAUAGGAGUGGUAUUGUUCAUUGCUCGUUGGCCAUCUUGCUUUAUUCCCUGAUUUUCAAAAAUAUUAUUGUGGGACAGAAACAUCAGGUUAAUUAUUGUGUGUGUCAUUAUUAUGUUAAUUUUGAUAAAAUUUAAUGUAUAUAUGAGUUAGACAAAACAACGACGAUAAUUGAUAACACUACGUAAUACUCUAACUAUGAACAUUAAAACAUUUCCCUAAUAUCACGCCGUUCUUCACGUUUUGCAUCCACACACAAGCAAUCGUGAAAGACGACAACAAUUGAUUUUGAACGUAAAUGAUGAAACUGAUGACUCAAGGAUAAACUGCAGAAUAAUGGAUCACACAUAGGCAAUCUGUAUAGUACCACGUGUCGAAAAAGUCAGCUGAAGGAUGCAGCCUACCAACAGGCUACAGGGACAUGUAAUCACGUUACUGUCCGAAGGGAAGCAGUGGGACCAACUCAGUUUCCUCAUCGAGCAAAAUAACUGAAGUUAACAAGUGUCACGCGUCCGUUAGAUAAUGACUUAUUUUAUUUUAUUUUUGUUAAUUAAUGAAUAAUACAGUUGCUCCGCAACUCACUCUCCUCUUGUUGAGUGAUUUGAGGAAGCAGUCUCUUCUCUUCUCACUUGAUCAGCCUCUCAAUUCUGGUCAACUUUUCCCCAAGGACGAUCUUAUCCUUCUUCACCAGAGCUUCAAGGGCUUUCAAUGGCCACCCUGUAGCCUCCAAGCUUCUGGUGCUCUGUACUAUCAGGUUCUCAAUUUUCUUGCUUACCAUGAUAAUUUCUUUUCGAUCGGUUUGGCAUGAGGUGAAGCCUCACAUGACCUAAAUUUUUUAAUAUAUAUACGGAGUGUACACAUAUAUUAUAUUAAAAAAGAAGAAGAUUAUUAAUCAAUAAUCAUCCCGAGCACACACAUAUAUUAUAAAUACAUAUACACAUAUAUAUUAUAUUAUAUAUAUAAAAUAGAGGAUGAAAAGUAUAAUGAGCACACAUAUAACAAUGCACGUAGACGGCACAUACAUUCAUUAUAUAAAAAAUAAAAAUCAGAAAACAAGGCAGAGAGAUGAUAGUGCAAGGAAGAUGUGUGAGGUAGUUAAAACCUUACCCAAAAUUUGGGUUUGGGAGUAAUAAUAAAAAAAAAUUAAAAAUAAAAUUCUCUUGAGGAGCGCCUAGGCGGCGCCUUCCGCCCACUCCCUGAAAACAGAGGCGGCAUCCCUCAAGCCCAGCCUCACAGGGCGCCUAGGCGCGCCCUGAGGCGAGCCUUUUAAAACAUUGGAGAAAAUGCAUGACCAGAAAAUGAGUUAGUGUUAAGCGAUUACGGGAGUUACCAUUGUCAUAUCUCAAAUUAUUAUUAUAUUGAAUAUACAGUUUCUACAGUUAGGUUGAAAUAUUUUCUAUCAUAGCAUAUAAAGACACAUUCUUUUUUGGUUUUGGUUAUAUCUCAAUGAAGUAUCAUUUUCUGAAGGCAAGUCCGGUUUAUUGAAUUUUUAGGUGUCAAUGAUGUUACAAUCCGACGUGUUUGAGGCGUAGAGGAAGUGAGAACCUGCUUUUGUGCAGGGAGAACCUACUCGUGGAAACUAUGAUCCCUUGACAGAUUCGAUGUACCUGAAUCAUCGUAGUCGUAGUUUUAGGUUGUGUGUUUUUGUUGUGUCUUGUGUUAAAAUGUGUUUUUGAGUUUCAACUAUACUCUUAUACUUUUUCAAUCAGGUGUAGGGUCUGAAAUAACUCAUAAAUUGAAGUGUUGUCUAUCAGCUUCAUCUCUUGUUACUGGUGGAGACCGGAGUCAAACAACAACACUGCACCUAAUCACACUAAUCUUGUUUCAUUUACGGUUUUGUGAUUCAUGUUAAAUUUCAUUUAAUUUGGAUUGAUGCUGCUAAUCUUUUUGUUGUCGAAGGAUUUAAACAAGAUGAUGAUUGGUGGAGAAAAAUGGCAUGGGGAAAUCAUUACCUUAGAUUAAUCAUGUCUGGAUGGGUACAGUUUGUAGGAAUUCAGACCAAAAACAGAGACAUGGAAAUGAAUAAACUUUUUGGUAAUGGGAGUCUUAAAAGUUUCAACAUAUCUUUGUUUUUGUGAUUACUUUUGUUAGUUAGACUUGUAUGGAUUGGAAAAGAUUAUGAGAAUUAACAACAUUUAAGCUCAAAACCUCUUGAACCGAAGGAAUCAUGAUCGUAGGUAACCUUAUUGAAAUAACACAUGAACCAUAAUUUAUAGUAAGCAUGAAUGCUUAGUUUGGUACAUUAGCUUGCAGUUGAAGCAAUCUAACUUGAAUGUCCUAAUCCUAACUCAUACCUCCAUGUCUUCUCGGGUUUAGGAUAUGUGAUGCCUCAAGGGUUUACACAUUGUAGACUGUAGAGCAUUGACGAAUUUGAACAGAACCGUUAUACUACCAGAAUCUUUGACAGAGGAAGAACAAUGUUCAAGCCCUUUCCAUACAUUGAAUUUUCUAUAAGUCGUUGUCGGUCCAUAUGCCAGCUAAUGAACCGUAAGAAUUGACUUAGUUGACUUACUGAUCACCAUGAAAAGGGCAUGUAGGUUAAGUUCCAGUAACAUGCAUACGGUAAAUCUUUGCCUGCCUGCUGAAUGCUUUGUGCAGCCAUGGAUACCACACCAAACUCAGAGUUUGUGUUCUCCAUUAUUUUAUUAUGUGCAUUUCUCGAGUUCCAUGUUUCCCUAGCAGCUGAUACCAUCAGCGAAAACCAAUCUCUCUCGGGUGAUCAAAUUAUUGUCUCCGCAGGUGGGAUUUUUGAGCUCAGUUUCUUCAAACCAGGUAACUCUUCAAACUUCUACAUAGGCAUGUAGUACACCAAACAAGUAGUAUCCGAGAGGACCAUUGUUUGGGUGGCAAACAGGGAAAAACCAGUUUCCGAUAAAUUUUCUUCAGUUUUAAUGAUUUCAGAUGGUAAUUUAGUCCUGUUCAACGAGUCCAAAUCCCCUGUUUGGUCAAUUUAACCUCCUCCUCCGCCACUGCACUUCUUUUGGAUACCGGAAACUUCUCGGUGUCCAGUAAUAGUUUAUCAGAGCCGUUAUGGAAAUCCUUUGAUAAUCCAAUGCAUACUUGGCUGCCAGGAGCUAGAAUUGGGUUUAACACUGUUAUCCAACAAACCCAAAUAUUUACUUCACGGAAGAGUUCAAAGGAUCCUGCACAGGGUCUUUUCUCGCUUGAGUUGGACCGAACGGAAGCAAUGCGUAUCUUCCCAUACUGUGGAUCCUACAGUAUUGGAUAUGCAUUGCUUCCGUGACGCAUACUUCACCUACCCUCUUUAUGAUCCAAAGAUAUUUUCUUGAUUCGUGACGCAUACUUCGGGGAAAAUUCAACAGUUGUCAUUGUGGGACAUACCGUGGAAUUUGGUUUGGUCCCAACGGAGAAAACAAUGCGAAGCUUAUGAUUUGUGCGGUGAGCACCCUCGCCUAUAAUUGCUUGAACGGUUUUGAGCCGAAGGCGAAGAGAGACUGGGAUUUAAAGGACUACCCUGGUGGGUGUUCAAGAAAAAAAAGAUCUGCAGCUGAGGCAAUCUAACUCGAACAUUUCCUAAUCCUAUAGCUCCAUCUCUUCUUGUGUUCGAUACGUGAAUCCUCAAGGGUUUACACAUUGUAGAGCAUUGAUGAAGUUGAAUAGAACCGUAAUACAUUGAAUUUUCUACAAAGACGGUAAGAUCCCACAUUGCCCAGGGAAAUGAUCCUUAUAUGUAUAUUCUCAUCCCUACCUAGCAUGAGGUCUUUUGGGAGCUCACUGGCUUCAGGUUCCAUUGGAACUUCGAAGUUAAGCGAGUAGCGCGCGAGAUCAAUCCCAUGAUGGGCGACUGGGAAGUUCUCGUGUGAGUUCACAGAAACAAAACCAUGAGGACGUGGUAGGGAUCCAAAACGGACAAUAUCGUAUUACGGUGGUGGAGCGGGCCCGAAAUGUGAUGGACCCCCGGGCCGGGAUGUGACAAAGACUUUGUUCAUAUGCCAGCUAAUGACAGAAUGUGAAGGGUUGAAUAGUUGAUUUAGUUGACUUGCAAUGACCACCAUGAAAAGGGCAUAUAGGUUGAGUACAGUAACAUGCACACGGUAAAUCUUUGCCCACCUGCUGAAUUCUUUGUGCAGCCAUGGAUACCAAACCAAACUCAGAGUUCGUGUUCUCCAUUAUUUUAUUAUGUGUAUUUCUCAAGUCCAAUGUUUACCUAGCAGCUGACACUAUCGGUGAAAACCAAUCUCUAUCUGGCCAUCAAACCAUUGUGUCUGCAGGUGGGAUUUUUGAGUUAGGUUUCUUCAAACCUGGUCAGCUUUCAAACUACUAUAUAGGCAUAUGGUACUCCAAGCAAGUAGUAUCUGAGAUGACCGUUGUUUGGGUAGCAAAUAGGGAAAUACCAGUAUCUGAUAGAUUUUCUUCGGUCUUGAGCAUCUUAGAUGGUAAUUUAGUUCUCUUGAACCAGUCCAAAACCCUGGUUUGGUCAACAAAUUUAAACUCCACCACCACUUCUGGUUCUUUACAAGCAGUUCUUUUGGAUAGUGGAAACUUUGUCUUGAGAGCGGGGUCUAGUAACAAUACAUCAGAGCCUUUAUGGCAAAGCUUUGAUCAUCCAACCCAUACUUGGCUACCAAGAGGUAGACUUGGAUUCAACAAAAUUACAAAUCAUACCCAAACUCUCACUUCAUGGAAGAAUUCGGAAAAUCCUGCACCAGGUCUUUACUCUCUUGAGCUAGCCCCGGACGAAAGCAGUUCAUAUAUCUUAUUGUGGAAUAGGUCUAAACAGUAUUGGAUCAGUGCACCAUGGAAUGAAAGUUCACAUAUUUUCAAGGUGGCUCCUGAAAAUCAAAUGUUCAAUUAUAGUUAUGUUACGAAUGAGAACGAAAGGUAUUUCACCUAUUCUCUUUACGAUCUAAAAACUGUAUCUCGAUGCUCCUUGUCUGUCUCGGGCCAGAUUCAGCAACUAACAUGGUUGGAGAAGCAGUGGACUUUGCUUUGGUCUCUACCAUUACAACAGUGUGAUGUUUAUGCUUUUUGUGGGGCUUUCUCUAGUUGCAAUCCCACAUCCUUGGACAACUGCAAAUGUUUGAAGGGCUUUGAGCCAAACCGGCAGAGUGAUUGGGACUUGCAGAUUUAUUCUGGUGGGUGUUCAAGAAGAACCAGUAUGCAGUGUGGGAAUGCUGCUAGUGCGAAUGGGACGGGUGAUGGGUUAUUGGGAGACGAGUUUCUAGAAAUACAUAGUAUUUCAUUGCCUGAAAAUAACCAAUAUGGAUACGCUCUUGGUAUCGAAAGUUGUAGAUCAGCCUGUUUAAAUGAAUGCCAUUGCACUGCUUAUGCUUAUGAAAGCAACAGUUAUUGUUCAAUAUGGCAUGGAGAUGUUUUUCUGCCAGAGCUUGUAGCAAGUGACGGUGGUGGAAGAACUUUAUACAUCAGAGCUGCAGCUUCUGACAUUAAGAAAAAACGUAAUAAGAGAGUGAUUAUUCAUGUCUUACUUGGAGCCGUUAAUCUUAAUGUUGUCCCAGUGAUUUUUUUCUUUUCUUUGCAGGUUUAAUUAAGCCGUCCCUUGUGAUUGCAAUUGUCACAACAGUCACAGGUUUGCUUCUUGUCAUUUUUGGCUAUUUCUUAUGGAAGAAGACAGUGGGAAAGAAAAGAGAGCAAAGGAAUAGAUAUGGUGAGACUAAAAGUAAAUUUGCUGCUGGAGGUGAAAACAACGAUGCAGAACUGCCGAUCUUUGGUUUAAGGGCUAUAAUAGCUGCUACAAACAACUUCGCUGAAGCUAAUAAACUCGGAGAGGGAGGAUUUGGCCCUGUCUACAAGGUGACACUUCCACUGUGUACUCUAAAUACUAAAACAUUUUUCUCCUCAUGCACACUUCUUGUGUAUUUAUGACCUUUGGAUUGAAUAAUUCCAAUGAGAUGAAUCACGGGGCAAAGUACACAUGGGUGUGCAGAAGGACAAAAAAGAGUGUUCGAAAAUAAUUUCUCCUUUCAGAAACAUGACCGUUCCUUUUUACUUCUCUUACAAUUUCUUCUCUUGUGCGAUUUUCUUCCUCUAUGCAGGGAAUUUUGGCUGAAAAUCAAGAAGUAGCCAUAAAAAGGUUAUCAAAAAAGUCAGGUCAAGGACAACAGGAGUUCAUGAAUGAGUUAAAACUUAUUGCCAAGCUCCAACAUACCAAUCUCGUUAGGCUCUUGGGUUGCUGUCUUGAAGAGGAGGAAAUGAUAUUGAUCUACGAGUACAUGCCCAAUCGGAGCUUGGACAAACUUUUGUUUGGUAUAUAUAUGCUAAUGACUUAUGAUUUUUUCUGCAAAUAUAUUGCUUUCCUUGUGUUUAAAUGCCGUGUACUGCAAGAUCAAAUGCACUGUGUCCAACAUUUUAUCUAAAAUGAAAAGAAAAACAUUUGCUCAUUUUUCUUCAUGGUUUGUCCAAUCAGAUGCAUCUGAAAAAAGAGAAUUAGAUUGGGGAAGACGUUUUCGAAUUAUAGAAGGCAUUGCUCAAGGAGUACUUUAUAUCCACAAGUACUCUAGAUUGAAAAUCAUCCACAGGGACCUAAAAGCAAGUAACAUACUGUUGGAUAGAGCCUUGAAUCCCAAAAUUUCAGACUUUGGAAUGGCAAGGAUUUUCGGGAUAAACCAGACUGAAGCAAAUACCAAUAGGGUUGUUGGCACAUAGUAAGUCUACAUAUACCUGGCACAUGUUUUCAUUCAAGUAAUGUUCUAUUGCUUACUUCUAUACAUACUGUCAAUUCAUGUGCAGCGGUUACAUGUCACCUGAAUAUGCAAGAUAUGGUCAUUUCUCUGAGAAAUUAGAUGUAUUCAGCUUCGGAGUGUUAUUGUUGGAGAUUGUAAGCGGAAAGAAAAAUGCUGCUUUUUAUCGCUUUGAACAUUCACCAACUCUUGCUGGAUGGGUAAGUACUUAAAAAUUAUUCUUGCUCACAAUCAUUCUGUCUUUAAGCCUUCCAAAUUCGCAAAUGACCGUAAAUUCAACAUUUUAAUUAGGCAUGGGAGUUGUGGAAAGAAGGAAGAGGAAUGGAGGUGAUCGAUGAAUCGGUAAGGGAAACGUGCCACCUCGAUGAAGCUUUGAAGUGUAUCCAUGUAGGGUUUUUGUGUGUUCAAGAAGCUCCAGCUGAUCGACCAACAAUGUCUUCGGUAAUUCAUAUGUUGCAGGGCAAUGAAUCUACGUCUCUUCCACCUUCCAAAGAACCUACCUUUUCAACACACAGACAUUCCAAUCCUGUUCGCUCUUCUGAAAUGCCUACCAUUUUUUCUCACAACUCAGUCACCAUGAGUUUGCCAGAAGGUCGGUAGGGGUUGAAAGAACAGUGGCUAGCAAGCAGUUGAGAAAAUAGUGUAUUAAAUUAGAAAAAAAGACAUUGCGACAAAUAUGUUUAUACGAACACUUCAAGGGUUCAAUUGGAGAAAUAAAAGUCCCCUCAGCUGUGAGGUUGAGUCUCUUAGAAAGCAUACACCGAAAGAGAAAUGAAUUACUGGUGUUUGUGUUUAAUGGUUUAUGCCCAUCUAGACUAAACCUAUAAUAGCACCAGAUUAAACUUAUGUUAAAGUGUUUUUCAGCUGCAAAUAUGGGCAUAGCCAUAUUUCAAGUUAUGUUCCCACCCCACCCCUUGGUGCAAACCAAUUUAUAUUAAUAUAAAAUAGAAUGUUGUUUGUAUGAAAAGAAAAAAGAGGAGAUUUUUUUACAUUUUUCAACUUUCAAAAGACAAAAAAUAAGAACAAAAUUAGUAUAGAACAAAGGAUUUUACAUUAGUAUAUCCAUAAUUGAAGGAUUUAAGCCCUUUCCAUACAUUGAUUUUUUCUACAAAGACUUGGUCCAUAUGGCAGCUAAUAAACAAUCUGUGAAGGUUGAAUAGUUGACUUAGUUGACUUGCAAGCAGGCGAGAAUAUCUAUCUAUAUAUGGUUAAGCGAGAGUCUCACGGAUGGCGACAAAAUUUUGGAGUCACCCCAUUCAAAACCUGUCCAAAAUAAUAUAUCAAAUCAUGCAAUGAUAAUUUGGUAAUUUAGUCAUAAUAAAAUAUAAAGUAAUGGGUUGUUGGACAAAAAAAUAAGAUUAAAAAAAUGUAAGGAGUUCCAUCCCUCUCCCCCCCCCCCGGCGCGUCUCAUCUCUCAUCCCUCAUUAGAGGUGGGCACUUAGAACCAAAAACCAAACUAAAACACGAACCAAAUCGAACCGCACCGAACGGUUUGGGUUUGCGGUUUUUGAACGGUUUCGGUUUUGAAACCGAACCGCAACAUAGAAAACAGUUUGGUUUCGGUUUUGACUUUUGAAAACUGCACCGAAACCGAACCGCACCACAAAUAUUAAUAAACAUUUAAUUAAAUGUCCAUAUUAAAUUUCAUGUUUUAAUUGGUUGUUUAUUAAAAUCCAUGCACUUAGUACGGACUCAACCACACUAGAAUAUCAUUAUUCAUCACUUUCUUUCGUUCAUUAACUUGAAGGACCUUUGUUAUUUUAUACCAUCACACACACACACACACACACACACACAUAUAUGUACAAGGGUGGACUAAUCUUGUUAUCAAGAGUCGAACAAUGAUCUAAUGAAGUCCACUCAUUUGAAGCAUGAUAUCACAUAUUCUAGUAUAAAAGUUUCGCUCACGUUUAAUGAAUUCAAAGUUAUUCAAUUUGUAUUAUGUUAUACCUUGUACGGGACAUCCUUUUGUUGCACAAACAUGUUUUAACAUCACAACUGCAUGCAACAUGCUAAUUGUUUAUAUAACAAAUGUCUUUUUCCUAUUGCUACUGGGAAAUGCUUAUUAAUAUGUUAAAUUGCAAAUUGUACAUUUUUUUCUUAAAAACCAAACCAAAACAGUUUGAAACCGCACCGCACCGCACCGAACUAAACGAUUUGGUUUCAUUUCGAUUUUGGCUUCAAAACCGCACCGAACCAAACCACAAAAAAUUUCGAUUUCGGUUUCGGUUUCACUCAAAACCACACCGAACUAAACCGUGUCCACCCAUAUCCCUCACGUCUCUCUCUCUCCUCAUUUUCAUUGUUUUCCUCUUGCCCUUCUUUCUCUCUAUAAAAAAAAGUUUUCGCAUGUUGAUAAUAAUGUGAUUAAAUUAAUUGUCAAAUGAUUAAUUUUUUUUUUUAACAAACAACAUUAUCUAUACUAAGGAGGAGGGGGUAAACUUAACCUCACAAUGGGCUAGCAAUAAUGUGAUUCAAUUAGUUGUUCAUUCAAUAUUAUUUUCUCUAUUUUUAAACACGUUCAAAACAUCUUAAGAGGCGUGUAAUGCCGGUUAUAAAAAAGAUUUUUCGCAUGCGGAUAAUAAUGUGAUUAAAUUAGUUGUCAAAUAAUUUUGUUUUUAACAAACGAUAUUAUGUAAGAGAGAGGGGGUGGGCUUUAGCUUCACAAUAGACUAGCAAUAAUGUGAUUUAAUCAAUUGUUCAUUAAAUAUUAUUUUCUCUAUUCUUAUUGUAAAUUCUAUAGAGACCGAUUUUAUUAUGUGAAUUCAACUACUUUAAUUGAUUUAUGAGAGAUUUCUUCUAGCAUGAUCUAAGAUUAUUUAUUACGUCAAAUAUUUGACUUUCAUUUUGUCAAUUUAUGCAUAUAAAUGCAUUUAAAACGUGUAAGUUGUGCGUACCACGUCGUGAUUUAAAAAAUAUCUUCUACACACGCUCACGCGCGUUCAUGAAGGCUAGUAAUGUAUUAAAUUAGAAUAGAACUACCAUGAUAACUAUAAGUUUUAUACAAGCAUUUAAAGGGUUAAAUUGGAAUGCACCCCGCAGAAACUUCAAAGAAAUAAAGUUUAUCUAGAAAGAAAAUGAUGCGUAUACCAAACGGAGUAAAAAUAUGAUGACGGUGUUCAAAUAGUUAAUACACUAGAAAAUGUACCCGCGUGUUGCUACGGGAUUUGAAGCAUUGUUGAAGAUGUGGAAAGUGCUAAAACAUAUAUGCUAAGAAGUGGGGUUUAUAUACGUGUUACAUCCAUAUGUUAAUCAAGUGUUAUUUACAUUCGUAUAUUACAUUACAAAAAUUGGUGAUGCUCAAGAAAAACAAAUUGGGGAUGCUCAAGGACUUUUUCGUAACCUAUGGCUCUAUCUCGUCCUAAAUUGCAUAUGUUUACAACUAUAUAAAGUUAAAAAAAUCCAGUUUUAAUCCACUGAAGACAUCCAAAUCCAUAACUCCAUUAAUGGUAUCUCCCUCCUUUGUUUUGUACGACAACAUUGAACUAAAAAAUCAAAAAGGAGGAAAUUAAAAACAGAAUUUGAUCACUCAGUGAAUUGAAUCACCUUAAAUUGCAUAUAAAUUGAAUUUGAAUUAAAUUGAAUGAAAGUAUACAGACGAAGGGAAAGUUGUCAUAACUUUACCAUGCAAGAUUUUACCAUGCCCGAUUUCAUUUGCAUGUCCCAAAAUCAAUUUACGAAAUUAAGGUUGGGGUUUUCAUAUUCUCUAUUGGGUAAUGAAAGUCACGUGAAAAGUUCAGAAAUAACCAAACCAAAAUCCAAUUUAGUACACCUAAGAAAAACAUUAGCAAGAAACUAUUUCCAACUCAUCAUUUAUUUAUCAAACACAGUAAUACAGUCAUAGAAACACUCUUAACUCACUCACCAAAAUUGAAUUAAUUAAAUUGGAUGUUGGGGUCAAGUCAAAACGACGGUCGGAGGGGCCAGACAUUUUCAAAGGUGUUGAAGAGAAAAGAGGUCGGACAAAUCAAGAUCUUAGAAAUGCAAGAAGGGAGCUUCUACUGGUGGAGAUUCAAGUGUGCUUUGGAACUUAAUACUAGCCUCUAUAAAAAUCCGCACUCGAUGGAGCUUCAGAAAUCGAAGAGGCGCCUGCUCAGAAAUCGAAAAGGCGUUUGCUUUCUCAAAAGCUGGGCUGCUCAGAGACCACGAUGGCCGAUCUCAGGAAUCGAAGAGGCGUUUGCUUUCUCAAAAGCUGGGCUGCUCAAAGACCACGAAGGUCGAUUGCAGAAAUCGAAGAGGCGCUUGCUUUCUCAAAAGCUGGGCUGCUCAGAGACCACGAGGGCCGAUCUCAGAAAUCGAAGAGGCACCUGCUUUUUCAACCUUAUCAGCACCUGUCACAUGCACACUCAACUUUGCGGAAAUUACGGGCAUUCUGUCGAAGAUUUCUAGUGAAGUAGAAAGCACGUGAAUGUUACUGUUCAAUCAUUCACUUUCCACACGCAACAUCAGCUCACGGGUACCACAGAUAACUUUGCCAAAAAUCUCUGACAAAGUUUAGACACGUGAAGCUUGCAGCUCCCAUUACAUCGCUAUGACCAAGAAGGGUAAAAGAAUAGCAAAGAAGCAGCACUAACAAAGUUUAGACACAUAAAUUUUGAAGGUCUAGCUAUCAUAUUACCCACAAAGGUAAAGGAACAGGACCAUUGCUGGAUAAUUGGAAAGUCCCUGUGGGUCAACCUCUGUGCUCCGUGGCAAGGUAGACUAGCAAACAGGCCUAACCUUUACUCACAUUCGAGAAAACACUCCCAACAAGAUUGCUUGCUUCAAGAUCGAAGAGGCACCGUCCUCCGAAUCUCGAGAGCCAGACUCCCAACAUGAUUACUUUCUCAAAAAGCGACGAGACACCGCUCUCCGAAUCUCGAGAGCCAGACUCCUAGCAGGAUUGCUUUCUCAAAAAUCGAAGAGGCACCGUUCUCCGAAUCUCGAGAGACAGAUCCCCGACAGGAUUGCUUGUUCGAAAACCGAAGAGGCACCGCUUUCUCAACUUCGAGAGCCCCUUAGAUAAAGCUUGUUUGUAAUCCUCACACCGCUUUCUCAACUUCGAGAGCCAGAUCUCUUUGGAUAAAGCUUGUCUGUAAUCUUCACACGUAACAUCAGCUUUCCAGAUACCACACACCACUUUUUCAAAGUGCUCUGACAAAGUUAAAACACGUGAAGCUGGCAGCUCCCACUACCGUGCUAUGACCAAGCAGGGUAAAAGAAUAAUAUUACUCAUUGUUAGGGAGACUCCUAUAUAUGUCGACAUCCAUCCUCAACGGACAAGCAGACCUGCAAAAAUGCUCAACCCUUCCUCAUAUCUGAGAGGGCAUUCCCAACGAAGCCUUUCGAAAUACUCAGCUUUCUUUCCCCCCGAGAAUACCUCUGCAAACAAGCUACACUAGAGCAAGAAUAUCUCAUAUCAUCAGGGUUAAAAGCAAGAGUAUCCCAUAUCAUGCUUUUUCUCUGUCUUUUCCUUUGGCCUUGUUCUUACCUGCAAGACAAGGAGAAAGAGAGCAAUCAGUCAGCACUUGGAAUCAAGCUUCCAGUCCGGAACUAACUGCCUGGAACCCCAUUGCUCUCGAGUACUCAUCUUCAACAUCUUAUGCUUCCCGAGAAGAUACCACAUCUGCCUGAGGAACAAAUAGGGCAAGUGAGAAGGAUACAAGGAAGCAUGUGGAGACAAGCGCAACAGAACACGUGCCGAUACAUCCACUACUUUGUCAACAGCAAAAGUAUCCCAUAUCAGCAGGGUCGAACGUACUCUAGAUUUGAUGGACUUGUUUUGACUCUCAAAUUCUUCAGUCGGCCUUAUACUCUGGCGGAAACAAGAAAACCUUCCAGCCCAGUUCAAGAAUAAGCCUGUGGAAAGUUACUUCUUCAAAAGUAAAAGUAUCUCAUAUCACCUUUUCUCCUUUUCUUCUCUUUAUCCUUCAUGCUACCUGCAAGAUAAGGAGAAGGAUAACAAUCAGCCGGAACUCGAAAUCAAACUUCUGAUCAGGGACUGAUUGCUUGAAGCUCUGAUUGCUUACCUUGUCUGUCACCUCUUUCAGCAGAUCCCCUAGCUCGGCGACUUGGGGGUCUCCUACUACAUGGUUUGUAUGGCGCUUGACCAAGCCUGAAACUACAAGUAAGCAUCAAGUGAAAUUGAUACAUUACCUUGUGCAUCUCCACCAGUUAAAGAUACCACCCCUGGAGGGAGGAAGAGUACUUCCAAAGAAGAUGCCACAUCUACCUAUGAGACAGAUAAGGCAAGUGAAGACGAUACCACACUUCGGUACUUAAAAGUUUCGUGAUUACGAGAUCAUUCUUCCACAAUAUUUCCUAAUGUCAUUUGUACUAAAUCAUUCACUUGUACUCACUAAAGGAGAGCUUGAACCUAUAUACUGUGUAAACCCUUCACAAUUAAUGAGAACUCCUUUACUCCGUGGACGUAGCCAAUCUGGGUGAACCACGUACAUCUUAUGUUUGCUUCCUGUCUCUAUCCAUUUACAUACUUAUCCACACUAAUGACCGAAGCAAUCUAGCGAAGAUCACAAACUUAAUAUUUAAGAUGAUAUUCUUUGGUGUAUGCUUUUCACAAACGAUAUAGUGUUGAUAGAUGAAACGCAGGAAGGGGUAAACGCGAAGCUUAACCUUUGGAGAGAAGUGUUGAAAUCUAAAGGUCCUCGCCUAAGCCGAUCAAAGACAGAAUAUAUGGAGUGCAAGUUCAGUGCAAACGGAGGCCAAAAUGAGUUAGGGGUGAGGAUCGGAGAUCAGGAAAUACCAAAGAGCGACCGUUUUCGCUACCUAGGAUCUAUCUUGCAAAAGAACAGAAAAUUUGAUGGAGAUCUCACCCAUAAAAUACAAGCUGGAUGGAUGAAGUGGAAGAGUGCAUUCGGCGUGUUGUGUGACCGUCGUAGGCCACUGAAGCUCAAGGGAAAAUUUUAUAGGACGGCAAUAAGGCCGGCAAUGCUGUAUGGCAUAGAAUGUUGGGCGGUGAAGCAUCAACACAUAGGUGUAGUGGAGAUGAGGAUGCUUCGUUGGAUGUGUGGGCACACGAGAAAUGAUAAGAUUAGGAAUGAGGAUAUCCGAGGUAAAGUAGGAGUAGCCGAAAUUGAAGGAAAGAAGAGAGAAAAUCGGUUACGGUGGUUUGGACAUGUGCAAAGAAUGCCUACUGACGCUCCGGUUCGAAGAUGUGACCACGGGACAGAGGUUCAGGGCCGAAGGGGUAGAGGAAGACCUAGGAAAACUUUGGAAGAGACCCUAAGAAAAGACUUAGAGUACUUGGAUCUAACGGAGGACAUGACACAAAAUCGAGCGCAAUGGCGUUCUAGGAUUCAUAUAGCCGACCUCACUUAGUGGGAAAAUGCUUUGUUGUUGUUGUUGUUGUGGAUGUUGGGGUCAAAAUUUUAUGUCCGCCUAAGGAUAUUUGAGACUAAAAAUUUAACUCUACUCAGUUUAGCUUCCAAGUCAUUUUUAUUUUCGGUCUUCAGAUUUAGACUAAAUAUUUAACAUUACUUAGUGUAGUUUCAAAUUUAACUUUCCCUUGAGCGCUUGUCUACUGGAUUUAUCUUCUAUAGCCUUUUGUUUGCAAUUUGAAUUACAUGACUCAAAAUACAGCCCAAAUAGAACACAAAUGGCCCUUAGAAAACAAAAUGCGAAAUAUUUACUAAUCACUAUUCAUGGUUUUGGUCAAAGAACUCAAAUUUCAGAGAUACAAAACAGAGCAGCUCGUAUAAAUCAUUUAUAAAGGUUACCUCUUUUUGGUUGAAAAAUUGAAGGGUGACGCCAAUUCUUCUUCAGCUUCCACCUCCUUGUGGAACUUGACCCGCCAGUCACAUUUGCACGUGAACCUGAAAUCAACAACCAGUCAGUACCUUUGGCAAGCUCAUGGGGGUAUGACAACAUGUAUAGGAAUAUUAUUGCAACUCUAUUAAACGAAGAAGUAUUCAGUUGAGGAUGUCGAUGAGGGAGGGAAGAAGAAGAAAAGAAAUGCUAGUUGAGGAACAAAAGAAUUUUGAUGCUGCGUUCGGUUUGUAUGUAUGGUCUAAGAAUUUACAAACUGCCUAUAUGAUUCACUCGCUUCUGUGUCUUCAUCAAAUCUAUUUCUUUUUUACUACCUCUUCUUUCAUGAAGGUAUAAUCGUCACAUUAUUUUCUAACAUAAAAUAUACACCUAACAGACGUUUAAUACAUUGCCCAUAAGUUAACUGAGGUGGGUUUUGCUUGAGUAGUUGGUGACCUUCACAGUCGGCCAAUUGCGGCUGACAUGUGAUUGAUCGUAUAAGGAUAUCUAUUUAAAAUAGUUAAGGGACUUCAAGGAUGCCUCUAGAUUUAUUCUGGUUAGAAGAUCGGGUUGAGUAACAAGUUUUGACUCCAACGGAUAUUUUGCAUAGAAGACUUCAGAAAAUGUGAUUCGCAAAAUGAUGUCAGAUUUCAAAAUUUAAGGCAUGUUUUAAGUGCACUAAGAUAUCUCGAAACGUAUCCUGAUGUGAUACUAUAAUUUCAUGGAAGGAAGAAGAAAGAAUAGUCUAAAAUUUUCCUGUCCAAUAACUCCAUCACCAUCAUCUCCAAUCAGAGCAAUGAUAUCCUCAAUAGACAGAAUUGUUUUAUUUUGGGUACUUAUCUAAACACACAAAAAUUAAACAUUUUCUCAUCCAAUUCACAUAUAAAAUGGUCCAAAAGUGCAUGCAGUGGUUGAGUAGAAACUAAUGUUACUUUGAAUUGAUGAAGUGUUUAUCCUCUAGAAGAUCUACAUAUCUAUUAUAAACCAAUCUUUAGUCUUGCAGAAAGUGAUAUGCUGACUCCAAAUUCCCAUAAUAUUAAAAUUGAUUUACAGUACAAUCUGCAAAUGUAGUUAAAUUUAAUGCUUCCCAUCAUUGCCAUUGUUGCAAAUCAAAUCGUAUGUGCAGAUUUAUGGUACAACACAUGAUCGAAUUAGAUAGUUGUAUGAAUACAUGUUUGUUCUUUCCCUUUCAACUUGUUUGGAUCCUCACUUUUCUCAAACAAAAGAUUAGACUCUUAUGACUUCUUAGCAUAGGGCUUAGAAGGUUUAACCACUCGCAAAACCACUAAUAACAUCUCUCAAACCAUUCAUUGUGCAUAUUCAUGCCAUUUUAAUAUUGAACCUUAUAGGAAUCUAAGCUCAUCAAAGCGUAACUCCGACAAAAUAUACAUAGCAAAUCGACACUUAAUUUCGCAUGAUACUUUUUUUGAGGAAAAACAACGAAGAAAGCCAUUGGGUUACCAUCGUCAAGCGCUCUCAUUUGCCUUGAAAUGGGGGUACCAUAGACACAUAUCCAAACCAGACGCAACGACUCGUAUUCUCUGAAUGCAUUGGUUUAUCAAACACAAACACACAGCCCUAAGAUCAUGUAGUAAGAUUUGGAUUUUUCUUACGCAUGCAUACAGUACAAAUGUAAUAUAGUUAUUUGAAAAAAAUACUCCAGCUCAUCACUUGUAGCCAUGACGCCUUGUUAAAAUUAUUAAAAAACUGGAAUAACAGUAAAGAAAUUGGCAAAAAAUCAAACCUACUAGUCAUUGGUGACCUUCAUAUGAUAAGCAACCACCCAUACCGCAGCCUCUGACGCCUAUCCCAAAAAUAUGGACCUAUAAUAUUCAUUCCCACCGGCACCAAAACCACCAUAGUCGUCUCAUCCCUCCAAGCCGCAGAGCUAUUCUUGAAAACCCAUUACAACAUUUUCCUAGCCGCCCCCUUUACUGCAACAAACCUCAUCAAAAUGCCUAAUAACUGUUCCGGAUGGCACACACCAAAUUUUAUCAUGAGAAAAAAGCAACCCCAGACCCAAAUUAAGCAUUUCAUAAAUCCUAUUUACUGGAAAGAUCUUUUUUUUUUUUGAAGGGAGGUCACCAAUGCUAUCAUAGGGCAUGAGCAGAGAGCGGUUCCAAAACUGCAAACAAAAGCCCCCAAAAGAAAAAUCAAAAUCACCCACAUACCCAAUCGGAGGCUACAAAUUAAAAACAAAAACAAAACAAAAAGAAAAUUUGAACAGAAAAACCAUUUGUAAAUCCAAAGAAUUUCCAUGUCCAGUGCAUUCUUUCUAAUAAUUGACACAAAAGAAAUAAAUAUACAGCCCUAAACCCUAAAUCAGUGGAAGCAAACAGAGAAGGUCAGGUCCUCGAGAGAAAAAAAAAUGAAAACCGAAAGGAAAUUCGCUAUUUACAUUUAUACCAAAAUUAUGAACUUGAAUUUAAUCUUAUUUGAACACAUCCUUGAGCAAUCUUACCUCAAAGCACAUCACCCAGUUAAGUUCUAUAGCAUGUGUGGCCUGAUCAGCCAACUGCGCGUGCCCCACCGUCGAGAUUACCACGUCGACUUGCUCGAUCGCCUUCACCAAGCUCUCAUAAUCGUACAGAUCACCCUGUAAAUUAUAAAUAAUAAAAAAAACCACUCAAAUCAAGCAAAACCCAAUUGGCUAAUCGGAUCAAAAAGCUACAAAAUGCUGGAAAUUUUACAAACCAGGACAAAAUUGAAGCCCAGAUCCUUGAGGUUCUCGAGGAAUUUGGACUUUGCCGGGUUAUAGAGGGUAGUUCUCGGACCAGAAAGUAGGUGGGGUGGCCGGCCUUGGCGCUGGCCUAUGCGAUGAACUUUUCAGUGCCGCCAAUGAAGAGGAAUUUGGACUUGGAUGCCAUCGGGAAUGGGAUUGGGGGGAAUCAGAAUGGGAUGAGUUGGAGAGAGAUAGCGAGUGAUUCGAUUCGAAGUGGAGGAUGAAGGAAGAGGUGGAGGGUCAGUGAGGAGGAGCUUGAGCUCCAUUUGCAGUCGGAGGCUGAGAGAGCAAUGAAAAACGUAGUAGCAAUCCCAGAGGAGAUCGAAAUGAAAGCACACCUGGAGAGUUCGAGAGACAUCCACCGUCAACACGUGGAUAACAGCGGCAUACAUGAAAUAACAGAAGAUGAAAAAGGGCAAAAACGGAAGAACAUUGUAAAAGUAACAGUGUUUUGAGUCCAUAAGGACAUCAUGGGAAUUUACCUGAAAGUUUCUCUUUUAGUACGAGAGCUACAAGACUUACCAUAUUAUCUUAUUUUUCUCACCCACGUUAUAUUUUCAUCUAUCUUAAAAAGUUAAAAAAUUAAUGUUAUUUUCUCGCUCACUAUUAUUCCCAAAAUAACCUUUAAUAUAUAUGUACAUAUGAAAUUAUAAAAUUGUCUCUUAAAAAAUAUAAGAAAUAAUAUGUAAAUGAAAAUUACUAAAGUCUGCAAAUUCAAAUAGAAACGACAGAGGUAUCCAAAUUCAAAAUAUUUCGACAACGACAAAUUUAAAAAUACGAUAGGCAAAUUCAAAUGACCUACACACAAAAUUAUUCUUCUACCUUUUCAAUGGAAACAUAAUCUUCGACCUCUUCUGUUUAAGCUUCAUUUUCUACAUAUUCAAUGAAAAAGUCAUCUUCUAAGUCUAUUGCUAUUUUUUUUUUUUUUACUUUCUCUGAAUGAAAUGAGAUGAAAAUAUGAGUUAAGGUUUAAGGUAGACAAAUUGUCUCCCAUACCCAACUUGUUUUUUUUUUUUUUUUUAAAUUAAGCAAAACAAGAUAAUUAAUGUCCUUAUUAAUCUUUUUGUAAAUGGACAAAUUUGUAAUUAAAAAAUUCAUUAAAAGGUGAGUGGAAAAAUAAGAUAUUGAGGUAAGAAUAACAUCACUCUUUAGUGUAUAUAUAUAAUAUAAUAUAAUUUUACUGUCAGAAUCAUUGAAAAGUGAAGGAACAAAAGUUCAACAUUUUCGAUCCUAAUACGUUUGACUGAGUAGUCCGGAAAGUUACAUUUAAAUCUUGCAUACAUGGAUAUAAUGAAUGUUUCAAUGGUAAUAUCUUAUAUAAUAAUCGUAUCACUAAGUGGGACGUAACAUUAUAUCUGGACCCAUAUUCAUGCCCUUUUCUAUAGCUUUUAUUUGACAAAUAAAAAAUAAAAAAAAAUAAAAAAUAAAAAAACCUUCUACGAAGACAUGGUCGUAAUGGCAGCUACGUACUGAUCAAUAUUAAAUAGCAAGAAAAACAAGAUUUUCGUUGUCAAGGUUCAUUUACCCUUGACCCUUUUAUAGUUGACUUGGAAUUCAUACAGUAUAGUUUAAAUUCUAGCUUCUCUUUUUUUUGUGCAGCAAUGGAUACCAAACCAAUCUUAUUGUUCGAGUUCUCCGUUAUUUUAUUAUGUGCAUUUUGGAAGUCUCACAUCUCCCUUGCAGCUGAACACUAUCAGCGAAAACCAAUCUCUCUCGGGCGAUCAAACCAUUGUCUUUGCAGGUGGGAUGUUUGAGCUAGGUUUCUUCACUAGUACAAAAAAUACUUUGCGCGACGUAGGACCGUCGUCGCGCAAAGUCAAAAAUACGUCGCCCAAAAAUUAGCCAAACGAACCUUCGUCGCGCAAAGUAUUUAGGGUUUAGGGUUUAGGGUUUGCGCGACGUAGGUAGGCACUGCGUCGCGCAAAGUAUCUUUGCGCGACGCAGGAUCUACGUCGCGCAAAGCUACUUUGCGCGACGUAAUGCCUACCUACGUCGCGCAAAGUUUUAUUUAUUUAAUUUUUUUUUUGUCAUUUAUAUUUAUUUUUUUAAUUUUUAAUAAAUAUCAUAAUUACAUUCUAAAAAAUAAUUAAUAAACCAAGAAAAAGUAAAUAAUUAUAGAAUAUAUGAAAAUGUAUGUUUGUCCGAACAAAAAAAUAAAAAACUACAAGUCUUCUAAGUUUAAUACAUCAUGCUACUCGGUAUCGUCGGGGCAAAAUGGCUGGGAAGUCGAAGGUGGAGCAACAUUAGGUGCUGGCAUCGUCGGGAUUUGGAGGCCGGACAUCGCUAAGGCCUGAACAAUCAUAUUCAUCCUCUCGUCCUGGGCCCUAAUAUGGUCGCCCUGGGCCGCAACCUGACCUCUUAGGGUUGUCACUUCCUCCUUCAAGGAAUUGACCUCUCCUGUGGACAAUCUGGAAGAAGAGGCACCCGUUUCACGAAGAGGAAGGAUCAAAUUAGUUAAACCGUGGCAGUAUGUGUAUUUUGUGAGCAAAAAUGUACACAAAGAGGAAGAUUCACUGCGGUCCUUUUUUGGAUUUGCUGCUCAUUACAUAUUUUGUCCGCCUAAAAGGGCUUUAACUUUGAACAAAUUUUGGAGAACUCAAGUCCAAACCAUUUACCUCAGCAGUAUGGUCCUUCACAAUGUGCCUACAGUUAUAGUUCCCAUCAUCAGAGCCUUGCCAUAUGCGAACUGUCUGCAACAUUAAAGGGGAAAAAUGAUGAUACAACAUCAAAAGAUGGAGUACACUAGGUUGAAUAUCUGAUUGGUUACACCCUUACAACCUAUGCAAUAACAUCUAAAUUGCAUGCAUGUAAAGUUCUUUAUUGACUCCAAUUUAUCCUCUUUUUUUCCUGAUCUCCUUUUUGUGUUUGGGUCAGGGAGGUUGAUCACCACCCCCAGUUGCAUAAAAAGUAACUUUAGAAUAUAAAUUUAAAUCCGUGUAGAUCCACAUAGAUGUACAUAAAAAGUCCCAAGGUUAAACUUGUAACUGUGAGGUAGGCAGAGUUUAGCGGUGGCCAAGUUAAUAAUGAAUGACAAACAAAGCUAAUGACAACUCCAGUAAAUAGAGAAGAUAAAAUAGUAAUGAAGAUUACAGCAUUUGUAUCAACCCCUCCAGUUGCAAUGAGAUUCUGCGAGAAUAAAGCCAAAAAGUAAUACUUGAUCAGCAAAAUGGAAACAUAACUGAGUUCAAUGACAUAAAAUACACAGGACAGACACACAAGGAUUUAUGACUUUGUCCUUAAUCCAUAAUCCCGUAUAUACCAUGAAGACAAAAGAUCAGUGUAAAGUGUGGAUUAAGGUAGGAAAAGCAUGCAAAAGAUCUAAAUUCUCAUCAAAUACCAUUACGCAAAAGAACACUAAAACAAGAGAGCUUCAAGGCUCAAUAAAUUCUAGAUUUGUUCCUACUAAAUUCGUUUUCUUCAUUUCAAGACAUUUGGUUUAGGAUCAUCCCUAAACCUAAAACUGUAGAUAUAUGAACAUUAAAGAUCAAAAUGCACUUCUAAUAGUACAAAGGCAGUAUUGAAGAGCAAAAUCAUGCAACAUCCAGUACGAACCUAAGAGUCUUUCACUGGAGUCAAAUACCCAUAUGGAAGUGAUGCUUAAACAAAAUGAUAUAAUAGCAGAGGUAAACACAAUCUCAUACCUUGUUAGACUGAAUAUCAAUCGAUAAAAUUCCUGGUUUGCUUGUUCUAUGAAGAGAAUGACUAGAUAUCUGAGUAUACCUCUCCAACGCAUCAACUGGAGCUAAUGUUGGGGAUAUCUGAACACCAAAGCAACAUACAGAUAAAAGCAAUAACUAUCAGAACUUAUCAAAUAAAUUCUGUGAAAACAGCUGAACUUCACUAGCAGCUUUUCUCAAGAAAAGAUUAUGUGAUAAACCCAAUUCCCUGCACAAAACCAAAUAAAACCCAAUUCACUAAAACCAAUUCCUAAUGAGCAGCAAACCCAAUUCCCUGCACAAACGCAUUAACAUUAACCAUAUUUAAUGAAAGAUAAUGUGAUACUACAGAUGAUACACAUUGGCUAGUAGGAAUAGGUUUGAAAAAUCGAAAACCCAAAAAAAUCGAACCGAAGCCAAAGAAAAACGGAAUACCAAACCCACCCUUUGGUUAUGGAAAUCUCAACUCGGUUCAAAAGUCAUAGGAUGUAGUUAACUAUGAUUUACGGCUACUAAGUCAGGUUCAUUAGUUUUGACCUUAAAUAUUUCUUAGAUUCAUACAACUUAUAACUCAAAUGAACGCAUGAAAUUUCAACCAAUCAUCUAUAAACAUACAUAACACCAGCCAUCAAUCAUCAAUCUACAAAUGCAAUUCAAAUUUUAGGAAAACCCUAAAUGGUGGCAACAGAACAAUCAUCAAUCUACAAAUUCUAAUUUAAAAACCCUAAAAUCCCUACACCAGAAAUUCACAUUAAUAACAAAACCUUAAAUCAAAAUUACCUAAAUUUUAGAUGGAUGACAGCGGGGGUGUUGUCGAAGAGGAGAGAAUCGACGGCGGGGGUGAUGGGGUGAUGGCUGGUGAGCACUACGAGGAGGAGGACGAUUCAGAGUUGGAGAGUCGAGGGAAGGGAGUCGAGGGACUGAGAGUCUGAGAGUGAUUCUGGUACUCGGGUGGAAUUGGUUGAGGAGGAUAGUCGGCUGGAGUGAGAGAGAUGAGAGACCGAAAGGCUUUUGGUUUGGGAAGAGAGAUCGAGUGAGAGAGAUGAGAGAGUGGAAGGCUUUUGGUUUGGAAAAUUUGGGAUUUUUUUUUUAAAAAAAAGCGCCUAUUUUUCAUAAUUGCCCCGCCAAAAUAAUGACAAAUAGCUCGACGCAGGUAUACAUUUCGACGUCGCGCAAGAUUUUUUUUUUUUUUUUUCAAAUAUAAAUUUUACCGAAAAUUUACUUAAUAAAUAUAUAUACCUUUGAACUUGAUGGAAUACGCAUUGUACGAAACUAAUUUCAACAAUCCAACCGUCAAAAUUGUUUGUAUAUAUUCCGAUAUCGCAUACGCCAAAAAUUGGAAAAAAAAAACAUCCAAAUAUCAAGUAACAUGACAAAACCUUUUGACGGUUAUAAACGAAAAAUCACGAUUUAACGGUUAUUUUUAACUCCAAUUUGUUGAGUUUUUCCAACUAUACUCCUUUAGCCUAUAUGAAUACAACGAACCAAUUCGAUCGUCAAUUUAAAAUAUUUACACAAGCGGAUACCACAAAAUGUUAUGUUAAACUUAAUGAUAGUAUAAAUAAACUCCAAGUGUUAGGAAAUAUAUCGUUUUGAUGAAAUACGCAUUCUACGAAACUAAUUUCAACGAUCCAACCAUCAAAUUUGUUUGUAUAUAUUCCAAGAUCGUAUACGCCAAAACCUGGAAAAAAACAAACAUCCAGAUAUCAAGUAACGAGACAAAACCUUUCGACGGUUAUAAACGAAAAACACGAUUUAACGGUUAUUUUAACUCCGAUUUUGAUGAUUUUUUAGAGCUACACUCCUUGAGCCUAUAUGAAUACAACGAACCGAUUCGAUCCUCAAUUUAAAAUAUUUACACAAGCGGAUACCACAAAAUGUUAUGUGUAAACUUAAUGAUAGUAUAAAUAAACUCUAAGUGUUAGGGAAUCUAUCGUUUUAAUGAGAUACGCAUUGUACGAAACUAAUUUCAAUGAUCCAACCGUCAAACUUGUUUGUAUAUAUUCCGAUAUCGCAUACGCCAAAAAUUGAGAAAAACAAACAUUCAGAUAUUAAGUAACGGGACAAACCUUUUCGACGGUUAUAAACAAAAAAGCACGAUUUAACGGUAGUUUUAACUCCGAUUUUGAUGAUUUUUUAGAGCUACAUUCCUUGAGCCUAUAUGAAUACAACGAACCGAUUCGAUCCUCAAUUUAAAAUAUUUACACAAGCGGAUACCACAAAAUGUUAUGUUAAACUUAAUGAUAGUAUAAAUAAACUCCAAGUGUUAGGGAAUCUAUCGUUUUGAUGAAAUACGCAUUGUACGAAACUAAUUUCAACGAUCCAACCAUCAAACUUGUUUGUAUAUAUUCCGAGAUCGCAUACGCCAAAAAUUGAGAAAAAAAAACAUUCAGAUAUCAAGUAACGGGACAAACCUUUUCGACGGUUAUAAACAAAAAAGCAUGAUUUAACGGUAGUUUUAACUCCGAUUUUGAUGACUUUUUAGAGCUACACUCCUUGAGCCUAUAUGAAUACAACGAACCGAUUCGAUCCUCAAUUUAAAAUAUUUACACAAACGGAUACCACAAAAUGUUAUGUUAAACUUAAUGAUAGUAUAAAUAAACUCUAAGUGUUAGGGAAUCUAUCGUUUUAAUGGGAUACGCAUUGUACGAAACUAGUUUUAACGAUCCAACCGUCAAACUUAUUUGUACAUGCUUCGAGAUUGCGUCCGCCAAAAAUUGCAAAAAACAAACAUUCAGAGAUCAAGUAACGGGACAAAACUUUUCAACGGUUAUAAAUGAAAAAGCACAAUUUAACGGUAGUUUUAACUCUGAUUUUGAUGAUUUUUUAUAGCUACACUCCUUAAUCCUAUAUGAAUACAAUAAACUAAUUUGAUCAUCAAUUUAAAACAUUUACACAAGUGGAUACCACAAAAGAAAAAGGCAAUACAAGAACCCAAAAAAAAAAAAAAAAACUUUGCGCGACGUAGGUCCACCUGCGUCGCGCAAAGCUAUUAUGCGCGACGCAUGUGUACCUACGUCGCGCAAAGUUUUUUUUUUUUUUUUUUUUUUUUUUUUGCUUUUGCUUAUGAGUACAAAAUAAAUAAAUUAAAAUGUACUUACUAAAUAUAUAUACCAUUGAAUUUGAUGGGAAACGCAUUGUACGAAAUUAGUUUCAACGAGCCAAUGGUUCGGAUUUCGGGUUAAGAAAUCUGAAUGGAAUUUAGAUGGAGGAGAUCUCUGCAAUGUUACUGGUAUCAGAAUGUGUGUGUGUAUAUUGCAUUAUAAUAUAACGUUGAUGCAAGAAAUGGAAAAUUGAUACUUGAAGGGAGUUCUAAUGUAAGUCGUAUAUUAGAUUCUCAAAUCAAAGCAAAGCUGCUAAUCCAGGACUCCAUCCAACCUUUUGGGCAGAUUUGAAAGCAAGAGUUCCACCAAAAGUAAAAGUUUUGGCUUGGACUGGCUCACUGGAGGAUACAUGUGAUAUGAUCCAGGAAAUUGCCUUUUGUGUGUGUUUCACCUCACUGAUGCAUUUUGUGCAACAAAGAGGGCGAAAGGAGUGUGGAUCAUAUGUUUACAACUAUGUGGUGGAGAUUGUAUGGGGUUGACAAUGUAAAUUAGGUCGGAGUUCUGUUUCUUUGCUCCCUGAGAAACAAAGGUAAGGGUAAGAAAGAAAUGGUCUCCUGCAGUGCAUGGUGUUAGUAGUAAUUCAGAUGGAAGGCGGAUAUUUGAGCAAAGUGAAGGUGUGGAGUUGAGGAACUUUGGGAGAAAAUCAAAUUUUGGUUGUUACUUCGGGGCUUUGGUUGCUGGAGAGUUCAAAAAGUUGUCCCUUUUCUAGCAAUUAUUUGGACUGGGGAGAUCUUGUUGAUGAUUAGAAUUACGAAAUUCCUUUGUUGUUAUUCAUAGAUCCAAAAUAAAAACUAGUUGUGUUAACUAAUGUGGGAAUUGGGGAGAGCAAGACAUACAAAAUAAUAACAUUGUUUCUAACGAUUACAGAUUUAGGCAUUAUGGCUAUUCCUAGUAAUUCAAACUUCAAACCUGAUCUGGUAGACGAUUUUGAAGAGAGAGAUGGGCGAUGGAGGUAGUUGCUGCAACUGGGUAUGCAGUUUCUGCCUCCCAAACUGAUCAAAUGAAAAGAAAAAAAAGUUUGUGACUUUGCGCGACGCAUGUCCACCUACGUCGCGCAAAACAACUUUGCGCGACGUAGGUGGGCAUGCGUCGCGCAAAGGUGGGAAAAAGCGGUAAAUUCUAAGGGUUUGGCGCCAAAAGUUUGCGCGACGACGGACUACGUCGCGCAAAGCCGUUUUGCACGACGUAGGUGUACGUACGUCGCGCAAAGCCGUUUUGGGCGACGUAGUUCUUCGUCGCGCAAAGUAACGUCGCGCAAAGCUGUUUUGCACGACGUAGGGGUACGUACGUCGCGCAAAACGUCUUUGCGCGACGUAAUUUAAUGCGUCGCGCAAGUUUUCGUCGCGCAAACAUGUUUUUGUACUAGUGCUUCAAACCAGGUCAGCUUUCAAACUACUAUAUAGGUAUAUGGUACUCCAAGCAAGUAGCAUCUGAGAGCAAGUGGUAUCUGAGAGGACUGUUGUUUGGGUAGCAAAUAGGGAAAUACCAGUGAUAGGGAUUUUACCACGCACGUAACAGUUUUAAAAACUCAUAUAAUACUUGCAAAAAUGACAAAGAUAUUGUAGUAUAAAUAGUUUCCACAUGGAUUAUUAAAUAAUUCGAAACAAACCAAAUUUCAAUUCAUUAUUGUAAAACAAAAAUUGUGAUGAUUGAUUUUCAUGACCUAAUGUAAUAAAACGAAUUUAAUUAAUAAAAGUAAAUCAAUCUGCAAUAUUAAAAAUUGAAUUUUAACGAAAAGCUUAUUGUACAGUUCACUUUAACGAAAAAUCACAUUUUUACACUAAAAAGUCAAUCCUAAUACUAUUCACUUCACCAUUUAUUUUGUUAUUAUCGUUAAAACUCAAAGUUUUCAAGCUCUUUUUAUUAGUUUUCCUUAUUAAAAAUGAGAAAAAAUGAAAUAGUUUUGUAGAAAUCAAAUUAAGAAAGCAUUAAGGAUCCGCCAUCACAUCUAAACAUGCAUGACUCAUUAAGUUUUGUGAAACUUUUUAAAAAAAUCAUACAACCCUUAACACGUAGUAUUCAUCCUAAAUGCACCUGCACAUAUUAAUCACAAGAAAUUUUCGUCAAAAACUCAAGAUAAAAAAACAAUACAAACCGUGGGCCUCAAAAACUCAAAAUAAAAAACAAUCAUUUACUUUUUGUUUUCUUUCUUUUUCUAUUUCUUUUCUCUUUUUUUUUCCUGUUUUUUUCAUUCUUCCUCAUGGGGCUUUCAAAACACGCGCAAGUGCAAAUGGGAAGGGUUCAAAUUGAUUUCAGUAAGAUUGGUUUGUAGCAAUGAUUUUAAGAGAGGUGUUCCCGUCGAUUUAGCAGUAGAAGCAGCUAAUCGACAACUGGGUUGGUGUCGGUAUUGCAGCAACAAUGAUUCGAUGUCGGUUCGUGAGCUACAAGGCACGCGAGCUUCGAUUUGGGUGCGAUGCAGCAGUGGAUCAUGAUAGAUACGGAUCGGUGCGGUGGACUCGGGUCAGCAACGACGGCGUCGCUCGCUGGUCGGACGGCGUAGCACAACUGGUGCGCGACUAGGAGUUUUGUUCUGCGCAUAGGGAACGGCUUUUGGUUUUUUUCUUAACCUAGGCUCUGGUGCCAAGAAGAGAAUGCUUUGAAUGAUGUGUUUAUCUUCUCAGGAAAAGGUAGAAUAUACAAUCUUAAUUCUAACUAAAUAGGGAAGAAUAAUUACAGAAGAUUACAAAGAUAUUUCUCUCAUAUUACUCAUAUUACACGGGGAUCCAUCUUAAAGAGGAAAUUCUAAAUUAUAGGAAUUAUAAGUCAACAAACAAACCAACGUAAGAGUGUGGAUCAACCGACGAAUGCACCAUUCUAACAACGUUAAUAUCAUCAAUUUGAGUCUAAUUACCAUCAAUGUAAGAGUCAGUUUGAUUACAAUUAGCAUCAGUAAGGACAUCAGUUUAAUCUCGAACAAAGCUCCACUGCCAGUUUCGGCAUUAUUGAUCUCCACAACCUUGAAACCCAUGAUUGUGCUGAUUCUUUAUCGGGACGAGCCCAAAAACACAAACAGAAAAAGAAAAAGAAAAAAGAAAAUCAGUUAAACUUGUUUUUGAGAGAGACAACAUGAGUAUGGUAUAUAUACGGAGGACGUACAUAAAAAAUGCGUCCGUUUUCGACGAAUUCAGACAUCGGAAAGCGUCCUCCCUCUGACGCCGCCGUCGCCGUCAAGUGUUGCAGUUUAGCCUCGCUUUACUCCACGGCUUAUCUGUGUCAAAUCGACCGCUACAUCUCCCACAAAAACCCUAAAUCUUUUCAUCAAUUUUCAGUAGCGUACGAUCCGAUGCGCCUCGACACACCUUAAGCCUGUUUUUGAACAAUCUCCGAAAACAGAGCUAGUCAUGGAGGCGCAGAUCCUACUGCGGUGUCAAACGUGGGGGUUUUUCUCUUCUCAUAGUUUUGCCACUAAAAACGUCCACUAAAUUUUCAGAAUUUGGAUUUUUUUUUUUUUUAUGUAUUUUGAUAUUGUUUUGUGAAUUUUUGGCAAUGAAUACAAAUUAUCCGCGCUUCUGAGAGCAAUCGAUGAAGUAGAAUGUGAUAAUCAAUGGUUGAAUUUCUUGAUAUGAGCCAUUUAAGUUUUUGAUUUGCUGAUUUGGGUCGGUGACAUUUUUGGGUUUUGUUGAUUAAUGUUGGCGGUGAUGACUAAAUUUUACAGCUUUAUGCCAGUUCUGCUUCAGAAAAUUCGUGAUUGAGAGAGCUGUUUCAUACUCUGAGCC